UUAAAAUAUGAAUAAAUUAUUUAUUAUUUAUAUUAAUAAUCUUAUUAAAAUUUAAUAACAAUAACAAUAAUCAUCUCCCUAAAAAAAUUCUGCUAAGGGGUAUUCUAGUCAUUUUAGUUUUUUCCUUAUACUAUUAUAACAUCAUUCCAUUCAACCAAACACAAGAAUGUUGUAAUACUCGAUUGUUGCCCGGGGCCCAAAACUAUUUUCACAGCCCAAGUAAACUAAAUACAUUUGGCCCAAUACGGCCCAAGACAUUGACCCAAGCCCAAAUCUAACCCUGGCCCAACUGCAAUGUGGCCAUCAACACCAAAAAAACAAACAGCAGUUACCCUAAGCAGUUCGCAGCAACCACGUGACAACAACCGCCCACGUACGGCAGCCUUUGCGUACGUCACGCACGACUUCUCGCCAGUGGUACCUGCAACGAGCCACGAACAAGUAGAUAUAACGGGAAAUAUAGCAAAAAUUGUAAAAAAAUUAUUAUUUUGGCUGUAUAUAUUUGGCUAUAAAAAGCCAAUUGUUUUCUGUAAUAGGGGUUAGCAAAAUUUUUUAUUGAAAUUAAAGAAAAUAAAAAGGAAAAAACAAAAAAGCAAGGAUUUUGAAGGUGAUUUUCUGGGUCUAUUUUCUUCUUGCUCAUUGAUUUCUUUGUUUUUUUUCCUUUGCGCACCAAACAAAAAAUAAAAGGAGGAGGAGAAAUCCUUACCAAAAGAUGCGCACUGUUGACAUUUUUGCUUCUUUUUGUCUAAAUCGAAGUUGAAAGGGGGGAGUUUGGCUUGAAAAACAGAGGAGAAGGUGGAGCAGUUCUUGAGGCUGCUGUUACCGCAAACGGGAAUGGGGUUUUAAUUAGAGUUUGAAAUGGGUUUUAACUUUUAAGCAUUGAUGGGUUAUUUUCGUUUUUAAUCCUUCCACUUUAUCCCAUCAUUUCAAAACCAUUCUUUUUUGUUUUCAAAUUUUUCCAUAAAAAAUCAAAUCUGUUUUAUUUUAGUCCAGUGUUGCGCAGCGUUUUGGGUGAUUUGGGUAAAUUUCUCUUUUGAUCCUCCUCCUGUUGGUCGCAUUUCAAUUCGGUCCCUUCUUGUGUUUUCUAUUUUUAAAUUUUGUUUUGAAAUUUCGUUUGUUUUCAAUUUAGUCGUUAAUCUGUUUUUUUUAUUAUUUCUUUUAUAUUAUUAAUUUUAUAUUAUUAAUUAUUAUUAUUGUUAUUAUUAUUAUUUCAAUGCAUGUAUGUACGCGCAUAUGUAUCUUAUAAUAUAUAUGUACAUAUUUAAAAUGGUUUUUAAUACAUAUGCAUAUCUUAUAUAUUUUAUUAUUAUUUUAUUCCUCUUAGUUUUAUAUACACAUAUAUACGUACGUAUAUUUAUAUUUUAUAAUAUUUAUAUAGUUUUUCACAUUUUAUAAUCCAAAAAUAUAUAUAUUAUAAUAUACAUAUAUAUACAUACACUAUUCAAAAUUAUUUUACAUAUAUUUUUCGCAUUUUUUUUCCUCUUUAUAUGUACAUAUAUAUACAUAUUUUCAUAAUUUAUUAAUAUAUUUUACUGAUAUUAUUUAUUUAUUUAUUUUAGAUACCUAUACCUAUACAUAUUUUAUAUUUUAUAUUUUAUUUUUAUAACUUUUAUAUACAUGUUUUAAUAUAUGCAUGCACAUAUUUUUUCAAAUUCACUUAUAUAUCAUAUUUUAUUUUGCAAAUACAUAUACAUAUAUCAUUUAAAUUGAAGUAAUUGUUUCAUGUUAUGCAUCAACAUUUUAAAAAAAAAAACAUUUUGGUUUCGUUAAAGUACCAAAAUCAUCAUAUUUUAUAAAUUUUCAAAAUAUUUAGUAUUCAUGAUUCUCGAGAAAGAUCGUGUCCUAACUUACUGGAUCGUGGUUACUUUUCGAUGAAUUUAGAAAACCAAGUAUUCAUUUUGCAAUAAAUUCACACAAAUUUCAAAUAAAAGCUUAUUCUCGAGAAUCCAAAAAUGUCGGGUCCUAACUUACUGGUCAUGACAUUUUGUUAUCUCGAAAUAAGAAUUCUUAAAACAAAAAGUAAUAUUCGGUAUUUGGAAUUUUGAGAAGUCGUGCCCUAACUUACUGGGUUUCGAUUUUCUUCAUUCAACUUAGAUAACCGAAUAUUCUUAGAUUUAACCGUGUGAGUUUAAAAAUCAAAAGCAAACUUAAUUUUGAAAAUUUAAAAAUAUUGUGCCAUAACUUACUGGGUGUGAUGUUUAUUUCUUUGAAAUAGGAAUGUUUUAUUAUUUUAAUUCAUUCAUGAGAUAAAAAGUUUUUCUUUUAAAAUUUUUUCAAAAUUUUCGACACCAAGCCAUUAAACAAUCAAUUCGGUACCGAUUUUGGGCGUCACGACGGUGCUAACUCUUCCUCGUGCGUAACUGACUCCCGAACCUGUUUUCUCAUAAUUCGUAGACCAAAAUUGUUUUAAAGGUGAGCCGAUCACACUUUAACAAAGGAUUGGUGGCGACUCCAAUUUUUAUUUUUUCAAAUCGAUAACAAAUUUUUGUUUUUCAAAAAAUGGUUUGGACAGCUUGGCGACUCCACUGGGGACUCUUAGAGAGUCGAGCCAUGAAUUGAUUAUUUUUGUCUUUUUGUCAAAAAUUGAAAAGUUAUUUUAAAUCAUGAUUUCCCUUUUCCAUUCAUUGAUUUUUAUUGUCAUAUGUUUUGUUUGGUUGACUUAAAUCUGUUAGCUUAUUUGCAUUUUGCAUUUCAUAAAGUCGGUUUUUACCCCUUUAAGUGGGAGCGAGAAGCUAGUACUUCGUGAGGUUUUCACCUCCGUGCAGGGUAGUGGACCGCUUUCGGGAGACAUCUGUACCUAUGUCUUCGAGAGAUUUUCAUCUCCGUGCAGUCACAGGGAAAUGUAUUCCCCUGAACUGAACUCGGUCUAUAUGAGCCUAUAAUGGGUGAGGAUCGAGGAAUCUGCUGGUUUGGGUACCGUUGCUUCAGAAGCCAAACCUCAUAUUGAAACUUAGGAACCCACCCUAGGUAGAAUUACUCUCUACCUUAGUAGACACCUCAUUGGAGCUUUUACUAUUUCUUGGUCGUAUUGUAUUUAAUUGAUACUGAUUUUUUGUGUUUUACUUUGAUUGCAUGGCAUAUCAUUAUAAAGGCGUUGGUUCGUGUUCGGUUGCUCGAUAGAAAGUUUAUCAUGGGAAAUGGGUUUCUUGAUAGAAUGGAGGACAAUGCGGCUGUCCAAACUUGGGCUGAGAGGGCGCAACGCGAAAAAGGUGAUAGUUUAGCCGAGGGGUAUGUAUCAGAAUUAUGAGACUUCACCCGUGUCAUCGUAGCCCAGAACAACUUGCAAGAGUUAAAGGAAAUUUGGGAUCAAUGGAAUAUUGAGGUUAGACAGUUAUUCUAUUCAAAUUAUGGGAAUUUACCUUAUUUGCUUGAUAUGAAGGUAGACAAGCGUCUGCUUCGAGCUCUUACCCAAUUUUGGAAUCCAGCCUAUAGUUGCUUCACGUUCGGGAAGGUUGAUUUGGUACCUACAAUAGAAGAAAACAUGGCCUUACUUCGGUGUUCGAGAAUUCAAGUAGACAGAAUCUACUCGAAAGCGAUAAAUGUACCGACUUUCUUGAGGAAGCUGAUGAAUAUAACAGGGAUGAGUGAGUAGUGGGUUACAGCUCGGAUCAAGCAAAAGGGAGAUAGUAGGUGCAUUCCUUGGAAAAUUUUGAAGGAUCUCAUUUUAGCACACCCAGAUGCGAGGUAGAAGGUAGAUAUCUUUGCUUUAAGUAUAUAUGGUUUGGUUAUGUUCCCUAAGACUUUGGGGCAUGUUGACGAAGCGGUCACUGACUUAUUUGAUCAGCUUGAUAAGAGAGUUACACCAGUUCCGGUAAUCUUGGCAGAAACCUUCAGGUCACUGAAUGCAUGUCGAAGAGCAGGAGAAGGUAGAUUCAUUGGAUGUACGCAACUCCUACUUGCAUGGUUCCACAGUCACUUUUGGUAGGUUGAUAAAGUUUCAUAUCAAGUUUUCUCUGAAGGUUAUUCACCAUUGAAGGAGAUAGUGACUACGCCAAAGAGGGAUGACAUCUCGUAGAAGAAAUGGAUGGCAAUUUUUCAGAGUUUGCAAGAGGAGGAUAUCGAGUGGAGAGCUCCAUGGUUACUUCCGGAUGAGAUCCUAUAUCGGUAUGGGGAUUUUGACUGGGUUCCUUUACUCAGAAUUUGGGGAGCUGUUGGUUAUGCCCCAUUGCUAGUGUUAAGGUAAUACAGGUCAAGGCAGUUUGUGCCUGCAACUCAGGGACUGGCUGAGUGUGAAUUCUCGUAUAAAGAUGGUGGUUAUAAAAAGAAGGCUCAUGAGAUGGCCAAUUCAUGGAAUCAAACUCACCGAAUAAAGAGAUUAGCUGUGGGCCCAAUGACAACUCCCGAGUAUAAUGAAUGGUGGGUUAAGAGGAUUAAUGACAAUACUCCUGGGCCAAAUUCAGAAAGUAGUCAAUCGAUGGAGGAGCAUUUGCGAGUCGUCCCUUCUGAGUUGGAAAUCAUAAAGCAGGACUUUGAAAGAAAAAAAUGCAGAAUUAGAGAAGAAAAUAGAGCAAAUGGAGGAAAAAAAAUGAAUUUGAGACUAGAUGUGGAUGUUUAAAAGCUCGAGGCUGAUAAACUAAGGAAGGGAAAGAGUAAGGCCGAAGAGGAAUUAGAUAGCUUGAAGACAGAUUACAAAAAGUUGCGUCUGUCAAUGAGAACUGCCGGGCUUGGAAAAACCUCAGAACAGUGGCGUGAAAAAAUUUGAGAAGAAAGAAACAGGUCAGACUAGUGGGAAAGAAAAUUUCAAGAGGUUCAAGCACGAAACGAAGCAUUAGAAAAGAGCUUGUCAGAGGGCCAAAAGGAAAAAAGUGAGUUGAAGGACAGGGUGGUUGAGUUAGAAAGGUUUCUUCGUCAGCAUAGAAGUCGAAAUUAUGUAGUAGAGCUAAAGGCAAGUUUAAACAAGAUUGAAGAAAUGAAGGGUAAAAUAGAGGGGUUAGAAGCAGCAUUGUGAAGUUGUGAGGUUCGGAUUGAGCAUCUAGAGGCAAAGGAGGGUCGUUAGAUUGAGCAACUUUAUUAUUUCCAAAAUCAAGUAAGAGACAGGGAUCAUGUUAUGGGAGAAGCUGUGGUUCAGAUUCGAGAGGUAGCAGAUCACCUACAAGCUUUAGCAAUACAGGCCGACGUGUUAAGCGUGAAGUAUGAAUUGGAGUCAGAUCGAGGACGAGACUUGGCCUCGUUACUUAAAAGGAUUAAAGUCUUGAGUAUUAGGGUAAAACCUUAUUUGUAGUUCAUUUUAUGUAAAAAGAUUUGUUUUCUAAUAAAGUUUUCUAAAAGUAAUUGAACUCAGAAUUGAUGUCUUUUUUGCAUUCAUUUUCAUGCAUCGUAUCAUAUGCAUUAAAAAUUGUUAAAUGGUUCUAAUUAAUCAAAAUCAUCCUUCAGUUAACCUAGAAACUAGCCGGUCAACCUAACACUAUUACGGUACACGAGCGAAAAUAAAAAGUAUGGACCAAAUGUUGAAAAAGCUCGAGCAGUUCCAGAAAGAAAUGCAGUAUCAACUUCAGCAGCAAAUGCAGGAGCAGCUUGAGAAGAUCCAACAGAAGAUGGUGGACAAAAUGGUAGAAUCUCAAGGAAGCAUGAUGACACAGUUAACCCGACUAUUGACGGAAGGAAAGGAUAAAGGAAAGAGCCCUAUGGUUAAUGUCGAAGAGGAAGGUGGUGAAAGACCCUUAUAUUCUCCAGGCUUUACACCUCCGCAUGCGCAGCCCCAAGUCGAAGUAUACCCACGCAAAUAUUCUGUUACGAUUAGGCCUCAGAAAUUUCAAGCUGAUGCUUCACGAUUGAUGAAUUACCAAGUCGGAUCAGGCUCUAGCCCUGAGGAUAAUCUUGUCACUCCUGUUGUUCCUGAUUUUGAGGAGGCGGUUGAAAAAGAGAAAACAAAAGAAGAAUUACCAAAGCAAUUAGAGGAAAGAUGGAAAUGGAUUGAAGAGAAAUUCAAAGCGUUGGAAACUAUUGAGAGAUGUCAUGGGAUUGAUGCUAAGGAUUUAAGUUUGGUACCAGAUUUGGUGCUUCCUUACAAGUUUAAAAUGCCGGAAUUCGAGAAGUAUAAUGGAACCAGUUGCCCAGAAGCUCAUAUCACCAUGUUUUGUAGAAGAAUGACCGGAUAUGUUAAUAAUGACCAAUUGUUGAUACACUAUUUUCAGGAUAGCCUCAUGGGAGCAGCAUCUAAAUGGUAUAAUCAGUUAAGCCAUACUAAGAUUAGUUCCUGGAGGGAUUUGGCACAUGCUUUUAUGAAACAGUACAGUCAUGUGGCAGAAAUGGUUCCUGAUAGGAUUACUUUGCAGAACAUGGAGAAAAAGUCGAAUGAAGGUUUUAGACAGUAUGCUCAGAGGUGGAGGGAGGUGGCAGUGCAGUUCCACUCCUUGAAAGAGAAAUGACGAUGCUCUUUAUAAAUACGCUGAAAGCCCCAUUCAUUACACAUAUGUUAGGAAGUGCCACGAAAAGCUUUUCUGACAUAGUCAUGAGUGAUGAGAUGAUUGAAAGUGCUAUAAGGAGCGGGGGGAUUGAUGUUGAAGAGAACAACAGAAGGCAGGCCUCAAAGAAAAAUGAGGUGAACAACGUGAAUACAUACAACAAAUCAAUUACGGUGAAGCAGCCUAGAAAAGUAGUGGCAAGUCAACAGGGUUCAUCAAAACAGGAAUCUGGUGCGAUGCCAAGUACUGAAAGGCCUCAGUUCACACCCAUUCCUAUGUCGUAUAAAGAAUUGUAUCAGAAUUUAUUCAAUGCGCAUGUUGUUUCCCCAUUUUACUUGACUCCGUUACAGCCUCCGUACCUUAAGUGGUAUGACGCAAAUGCACAAUACGAUUUCCAUGUAAGAGUUACGGGGUAUUCUAUAGAACAUUGUACUUCUUUUAAAAAGCUUGUUGAAAGGCUCAUUAAGAUGGAUGUUGUCAAGAUAGAUGAUUCAUCAGGCACGAAAAAUCCAUUACCCAAUCAUAUUGAUGCCGGGGUAAACAUGAUGGGUGAAAGUAUGGGGAGAAAAGUCAAAGAAAGUAUUGCUGAGGUAAAAAUCCCUUUGAAGAGGGUUUGAAAAGAAAUGGUGGAAAGAGGGUUAAUCGUCUCGGAUUUAGUGAGAGGUGGUGAGACCCAAAGUUAUUGUGAGUUUCAUCAUGAGGUGGGAUACGAAAUUCAGAGAUGCGAGGAAUUUAGAGCUCUGGUUCAGAGCUUGAUGGAUAAUAGAGAAGUAGAGUUUUUUGAAGAGGUGGAAGGAAAAGGAAGUGUACGUGCGUUAGAGUCAGCGAAACAAGGAUUCCGAGGGUUAAUCAUCCUGUGAUCAUCAUCUUGAACCCUAAGGUUAAUGAGGUUAGGGCACAGGUGAUGCCGAAGAUUUUAAUUCAGAAGCCAACAAAGUUUUCAUACAAGGAUAGUAAGAAGGUCCCCUGGAAUUAUGAGUACGAUAUAACAGUCUCGGGAAAGGAAGCUUUAGUUAGUGUUCCAAAAGAAAACCAAAAGACAGGUUCUUAUGCAAAUGAUGAGAUGUACUGCAGUCGGAUAAAUGCCCAAGCAGAGUCAACGGAGGGAGAAUUCUUAUGGCAGAGCAAAAGGAAGAGAGGCCAUUGAUUAAUGAGCCAAUAAAGGAGGAAGAAGCUACUGAAUUCUUGAGAUUUUUGAAGCACAGUGAGUAUAGCGUGGUAGAGCAGCUGCAUAAACAGCCAGCUCGUAUAUCUGUGUUGGCCUUGCUCAUGAGUUCAGAGGUGCAUCGAAAUGCGCUGAUAAAUACAUUAAAUGAAGCAUACGUGGUAAGUGAUAUUUCUGUCAACCUAUUGGAUCGGUUGGUCAACAAUAUAAGUGUUGAUAAUUUUAUCUUCUUCAACGAUGACGAAAUACCAUCUGGAGGUAUGGGGUCCACUAAAGCUCUGCACAUUACUGCUCGGUGUAAAGGAAGUAUGGUGUCGGGAGUUUUAAUUGAUAAUGGAUCCACAUUGAAUGUACUGCCCUUAUCUACUCUCAAUAGACUACCUAUAGAUAGCUCACAUAUGAAAACAUGUCAAAAUGUGGUGAGGGCAUUCGAUGGAACGGAAAGGAAGGUUUUGGGAAGGAUUGAGAUACCGUUGCAGAUUGGCCAAAAUACUUAUGAAGUGGAUUUCAUUGUAAUGGAUAUCAACCUUUCUUAUAAUUGUUUGUUGGGAAGACUUUGGAUACAUUCGGUGGGGGCUGUACCGUCAUCGUUGCAUCAGAAGUUGAAGUUAGUGACAGAGGGACGGUUAGUGACCAUAAAUGUUGAGGAGGGUACUAUUGCGUCAAUAACCAGUAAUGCACCGUACGUGGAAACGGAUGAGGAGGUAGUGGAAUGUUCUUUCCGAACCUUAGAGUUUGUGAAUGCAACAUUUAUUGCCGAAGGGAGUAGAAUUCUAGUGCCGAAUAUAUCCAAUGCUACAAGAAUGAGUCUUCAAUUAGUAGUAGGAAGAGGAGCUGUUCCGGGAAAAAGGAUUGGGAAGAUAUUUGCAAGGAGGAGUUAGGGUACCAGUAAUGAAAGAAAAGUAUGAUCGUUUUGGUCUAGGUUAUAAACCAGAUGUAAAACAAAAGAGAAAAGAAAUGGAGAGAAGAAGGUCACCCCUGAAUGGAAAUGAGGUUAAGUGGGAACCUAUGGCUUUUCCUCACAUAUCCAAGACAUUCGUAUCAGGGGGUUCAUUCAUCCUGAGCGAAGAAUGCUUAAAGUAAAAAAUGUUGAAGAAAUGCUGGGAGAUAUCCACAUUAAUGCCUUAGACACAUUCGAGAGAGGGACACUGUUAGAGAUUCGCCCUUAUGAACCUGGAAGUGAGCUAAACAAUUGGACUGCGGAAGAGAUUCUUGUAGUUUUUAGAGCUCUUUCAGAGUAAAUGUCCAGAACAUCCUUGUUGUUUUAACAUUAGGAAUUUCUUUAUAUGCACAUGUGAAACGUUAUGAUUCUAAUAAAUUCACUUUUCGUAUUAAAGCCAGUAGUCUUUUUCAUUCUUUUUUUUGAAUAAUUAUUCUUUUAUUCUUUUUCCAUAUCAUUCAUUUUUUUCAUUCAUAAUCAUAUUCGUUCAUAAAUUCAUUGUUUGUAUAUUCUUUGGCGCCUACCAUAGGUUCCCAGAUAUCAAUGAUUUGAAUGACGAUGCUUCAGACUCAGAAUCCCCUUUUGAGCAAGACGUGUGUUUAGAGGGAUCACAUGAUUUUGAAGAUGACGUAGACCGUGAUGUAUCUUUGGAUUUAUUGAGAAUGGUAUAACAGGAGGAUAAGCAAAUCUUGCCUCAUAAAGAAUCAUUAGAGAUUGUGAACCUAGAGGAAGAAAAGGAGGUAAAGAUCAGAACUGACGUUACUGCCAAGACAAGGCGAAACCUCAUCGAAUUACUCUGUGAAUUCAAAGAUGUCUUUGUAUGGUCAUAUCAGGAUAUGCCCAAGUUAAGCACUGAUAUUGUGGUACACCGUCUUCCUAUAAAGGAAGAUUGCAAGCCAGUUCAGCAGAAGCUCAGGAGAAUGAGGCCUAACAUUGUGUUAAAAAUAAAAGAAUAAGUCAAAAAACAAUUUGACGUUGGGUUCCUGCAAGAAGUCAAAUAUUCAGAGUGGGUAGCCAACGUAGUCAUUGUCCCUAAAAAAGAUGGAAAAGUAUGAAUGUGUGUGGAUUACAGGGAUUGGAAUAGAGCCAGUCCAAAGGAUAAUUUUUCGUUGCCUCACAUUGAUACUUUAGUGGAUAAUACGGCAGGUUAUUCGUUGUUUUCUUUCAUGGAUGGUUUUUCUGGGUACAAUCAAAUAAAGAUGCAUCCGGAAGAUAUGAGAAAGAUCACAUUUAUUACUUUGUGGGGGACGUUCUGUUAUAAAGUGAUGCCCUUUAGGUUAAAGAAUGCGGAGACAACUUAUCAAAGAGCUAUGGUAACUUUUUUUCAUGACAUGAUGCACAAGGGGAUUGAGGUUUAUGUUGAUGAUAUGAUUGCAAAGUCUAAAAUGGAAGAAGAGCAUGUUCAGAUUCUGCGGAAGUUAUUUUUGAGACUAAGGAAUUUCUAGCUCAAGCUUAAUCCAACGAAGUGCACUUUUGGAGCUAGAUCAGGGAAGUUUCUGGGCUUCAUAGUCAGCGGGAAAGGAAUUGAGGUUGACCCAGACAAAGUCAGGGCAAUACGAGAUUUACCUGCACCACAUACUUAGAAAGAAGUACGAGGAUUUCUGGGAAGAUUGAAUUAUAUUGCUCGGUUUAUUUCACAACUAACUGAGAAAUGUGAUCCCAUAUUCCGUCUUCUGAAGAAGCAUAAUUCAGGUGUGUGGGAUGAAGAAUGUCAGAAAGCUUUUGACAAAAUAAAGUGGUACUUGUCCAACACUCCAGUGCUAUUGCCACCUAGCCCAGAUAGGCCAUUAAUACUGUAUUUAGAGUAUUUGACAAUUCAAUAGGGUACGUGUUAGGCCAACAUGAUGAAACAGGAAGAAAAGAAAGGGCAAUAUAUUAUCUUAGCAAGAAAUUCACUGAGUGUGAAGUGAGGUACUCGUUCAUUGAGAAGUUGUGUUGUGCUUUGGUGUGGACAACUCAAAGAUUACGGCAUUAUAUGUUGUAUCAUACGAGAUGGCUAAUUUCAAAGUUGGAUCCCUUAAAGUAUAUGAUAGAGUCGACUGCUUUGAAUGGGAGGAUGGCUAGAUGGCAGAUCUUGCUUUCUAAAUUCGACAUAGUGUAUGUGAGUCAGAAGGCCGUAAAAGAGAGCGCAAUAGCUGACUUUUUAGGUAGUAGAGCCUUGGAGGAUUAUGAGCUUUUAAACUUUGAUUUUCCAAAUGAGGAUUUGAUGUAUGUGGCAGUUACUGAAGAAAAUCCCCAAAUGGAUCAUGUGUGGAAGCUAAAUUUUGAUGGAGCCUCAAAUGCUGUGGGUAAUAGAAUUGGGGCAAUCCUAGUAUCUCCAAGUGGAGAUCACUAUCCUGUUGCUAGCAAACUAGAUUUUGAUUGUACGAACAAUAUGGCAGAAUAUGAAGCGUGCAUUAUAGGCGUUCGUGCAGCCAUCGAAUGUAAGAUCAAAGUGUUAAAAGUGUAUGGUGAUUCUACAUUGGUGAUAUACCAACUCAAAGGAGAAUGAGAGAUAAGAGACCCUAAACUGAUCAAUUAUCGAAAGAUGGUUCUGAAAUUGAUGGACGAGUUUGACGACAUCACUUUUUGUUACCUUCCACUAUAUGAGAAUCAGAUGGCUGAUGCAUUGGCCACCCUAGCCUCUAUGAUCCGAGUGAAUAAGUUAGAGGACAUUAAUCCUAUUCAGAUGAGUAAUUCUAAAACACCGGCUCGUUGCUAUAAUGUUGAGGAGGAGGGAAAAGAUGACUAUCCCUGGCAUUUGAAUAUAUUUUGAUAUGUGAAAAAUCGUGAGUAUCCAGAUCAGGCGACGGAGAAUGAUAAGAGAGCAUUGAGAAGAAUAGCUAUUGACUAUGUUCUAGAUGGAGAGGUCCUGUACAAAAAAGGGAAGGAUCAAGUACUGCUAAGAUGUGUGGAUACAGUAGAAGCUAGAAAAAUUCUAGAGAAGGUCCAUGAGGGUAUUUGCGGAAUGCAUGUAAAUGGUUUCACGAUGGCCAAGCAGAUCAUGAGAUUUGGGUAUUAUUGGUCUACUAUGGAAAGAGAAUCAACUAUGCUAGGAAAUGCCAUAAAUGUCAAAUUUAUGGUGAUAAAUUGCAUGCACCUCCUUCACCUCUUCAUGUUAUGACUUCUCCGUGGCCUUUCUCUAUGUGGGGUAUGGAUUUCAUUGGGCCAAUAUCGCCAAAGGCUUCUAAUGGGCAUCGCUUCAUCUUUGUGGUUUUUGACUACUUUACCAAAUUGGUGGAAGCUGCUUCUUAUGCAAAUGUCACGAAGUCAGCAGUUAGCAGAUUCUUGAAAAAGAAGAUCAAAUGUUGAUAUGGAAUUCCCGAGAGGAUCAUAUCUGAUAAUGCGUUGAAUUUGAAUAAUAGCACGAUAGCAAAGGUCUGCAGUCAAUUCAAGAUCAGACACCAUAACUCGUCGCCAUAUCGCCCAAAGAUGAAUGGCGCAGUAGAAGCAGCCAAUAAGAAUAUCAAGAGAAUUGUGGGGAAGAUGACCGAGACCUACAAAGACUGGCAUGAGAAAUUACCAUUUGCUCUCUUUGCUUAUAGAACGUCUGUUAGGACUUCGACCGGGGCGACACCUUUCUCUCUGGUUUAUGGGAUGGAAGCAAUUUUACCCAUUGAGGUGGAAAUUCCUUCUCUUCGGGUAUUGGCUGAGUUAAAAUUGGAUGAGGUAGAAUGAGCUCAGUCUCGUUAUUAUCAGUUGAACUUAAUAGAAGGGAAAAGGCUAAAGGCUAUUCAACGCGGUCAGAUGUAUUAAAGGCGAAUGAUGCGAGCCUACAACAAAAAAGUUCGUCCUAGAGAAUUUCAUGAGGGUGAGCUAGUGUUGAAAAAGAUCCUUCCCAUACAAAAAGAUUUUAGAGGAAAAUGGAUGCCAAAUUGAGAGGGUCCAUAUAUUGUAAAGAAAGCCUUUUCGGGUGGAGCUUUGAUUUUGAGUGAGAUGGAUGGCAAAGACUUACCAAACCCUGUAAACUCAGAUUCAGUUAAGAAAUACUUUUUUUUAAAAUAAUAAUAAUAAUAAUACUUUUACAAAGGAAAUUUUGCAUAUAACUCUGGAAAUUUCUAAAUAAUAUAGGGACCUGAAACAAGGUCAUUGUUUAGAAUACACCAAGUUCAAGGGUUGAAAUGUCUAAAAAGGAAAAUAUUAAAAGUAAGAUUAUCCUUUUGUUUUUAUCAAUCAAAUACUGACUGAACAAAAUGGCAAAAUGUAGUAAUGGUGACAAAGCUUGAUCACCUUGCGAUAAGAAGAAGUUGUUCUUGGAGAGGAAAAUUCAUUAUUUGUGCAUGAGCAUUUGGUAUGACACCCUGGGAAUGGUGUAAGAGACCAAAGAGUGUCACAUUCAGUAUCCUUGAAUUGUGAUAGCAGAGGAUUGAGAAAAGGCCAUAUUUUUUUUCUCGUGGGUUACAACGGGAGAAAGAUGGUACAAAUUUUGCGUCCCAGUGGAUUAAACUUGGAGGUUUACAGUAGGGGGCAAUCUGGUCAAGUGCUUCUUUGGAGACGCCAGCCGAGCAAAAGGUGCUAUAGCAUAUUAGUGAUGAAACCUUAAUAAACUUGGAGUAAUAAUAACUCAAACAUUAAAAUAUCAUUUUCAUGACAUUCUGCAUCCAUUCAAAUGUCAUUCAUACAUGUCUAGUUAGGAGUGUUUGAUUCAUUCUGAUCAUGACAUCCUAAUUACUAGGCAUAAUUAGGUUCAUAAAAUGAAUUAUAUAGGUCAUGUUCUCUAGAGAACAGAUCAAAUAUAGCAGAUCUUGUCUUCCCAUACUGGUGGCGAAGUAGAUCGAAGAAAGCAGAUCUUGUCUUCAUGUAUUGGCGUGAAGUAGAUCAAAGAUAGCAGAUCUUGUCUUCCCAUACUGGUGGCGAAGUAGAUCAAAGAUAGUAGAUCUUGUCUUUAUGUAUCGGCGUAAAGUAGAUCAAAGAUAGCAGAUUUUGUCUUCCCAUACUGGUGGCGAAGUAGAUCAAAGAUAGCAAAUCUUGUCUUCAUGUAUUGGCGUGAAGUAGAUCAAAGAUAGCAGAUCUUGUCUUCCCAUACUGGUGGCGAAAUAGAUCGAAGAAAGCAGAUCUUGUCUUCAUGUAUUGGCAUGAAAUAAAUCAAAGAUAGCAGAUCUUGUCUUCAUGUAUUGGCGUGAAGUAAAUCGAAGAUAGCAGAUCUUGUCUUCCCAUGCUGGUGGCGAAGUAGAUCAAAGAUACAAGUUUUAUCUCCCUGAAGUUGCAGUGGAGCAGAUUGAAGAAAAUGAUCCUAUCUCCUUGAAGUUGCAGUGGAGCGGGUUAAAAUCAGAUCCUAUCUCUCUGAAGUUGCAGUGAGCGGAUUAAAAAACCACAAGUCUUAUCUCCCUAAAGUUGUAGUGGAGCAGACUAAGGAUAGCAAAUUUUGUCUUUUGAGAAGUUACAAGUAGAGUGGGUCGAAGCAUCAAUACCUUCGAAGAUGCAGUAGGUUGAAAUGGGGCUACCUAAAGAAGAAUAGCACCAAGGUCCAACACGACCGGGCAAAAUUGGCCAUUUUUAGAGUAUUUGCUAUGUUCCCAUUACAUGAUAACAAGCAAAGAGGGGCAACUGUAAUACCCAAUUGUUGCCCGGGGCCCAAAACUAUUUUCACAGCCCAAGUAAACUAAAUACAUUUGGCCCAAUACGGCCCAAGACAUUGACCCAAGCCCAAAUCUAACCCUGGCCCAACUGCAAUGUGGCCAUCAACACCAAAAAAACAAACAGCAGUUACCCUAAGCAGUUCGCAGCAACCACGUCACAACAACCGCCCACGUUCGGCAGCCUUUGCGUACGUCACGCACGACUUCUCGCCAGUGGUACCUGCAACGAGCCACGAACAAGUAGAUAUAAAGGGAAAUAUAGCAAAAAUUGUAAAAAAAAAUUAUUAUUUUGGCUGUAUAUAUUUGGCUAUAAAAAGCCAAUUGUUUUCUGUAAUAGGGGUUAGCAAAAUUUUGUAUUGAAAUUAAAGAAAAUAAAAAGGAAAAAACAAAAAAGCAAGGAUUUUGAAGGUGAUUUUCUGGGUCUAUUUUCUUCUUGCUCAUUGAUUUCUUUGUUUUUUUUCCUUUGCACACCAAACAAAAAAUAAAAGGAGGAGGAGAAAUCCUUACCAAAAGAUGCGCACUGUUGACAUUUUUGCUUCUUUUUGUCUAAAUCGAAGUUGAAAGGGGGGAGUUUGGCUUGAAAAACAGAGGAGAAGGUGGAGCAGUUCUUGAGGCUGUUGUUACCGCAAACGGGAAUGGGGUUUUAAUUAGAGUUUGAAAUGGGUUUUAACUUUUAAGCAUUGAUGGGUUAUUUUCGUUUUUAAUCCUUCCACUUUAUCCCAUCAUUUCAAAACCAUUCUUUUUUGUUUUCAAAUUUUCCCAUGAAAAAUCAAAUAUAUUUUAUUUUAGUCCAGUGUUGCGCAGCGUUUUGGGUGAUUUGGGUAAAUUUCUCUUUUGAUCCUCUGCCUGUUGGGCGCAUUUCAAUUCGGUCCCUUCUUGUGUUUUCUAUUUUUAAAUUUUGUUUUGAAAUUUCAUUUGUUUUCAAUUUAGUCGUUAAUCUGUUUUUUUAUUUCUUUUAUAUUAUUAAUUUUAUUUAAUUAAUUAUUAUUGUUAUUAUUAUUUCAAUGCAUGUAUGUACGCGCAUAUGUAUCUUAUAAUAUAUAUAUGUACAUAUUUAAAAUGGUUUUUAAUACAUAUGCAUAUCUUAUAUAUUUUAUUAUUAUUUUAUUCCUCUUAGUUUUAUAUACACAUAUAUACGUACGUAUAUUUAUAUUUUAUAAUAUUUAUAUAGUUUUUCACAUUUUAUAAUCCAAAUAUAUAUAUUUAUUUUUAAAAUAUACAUAUAUAUACAGACACUAUUCAAAAUUAUUUUACAUAUAUUUUCUGAAUUUUUUUUCCUCCCUAUAUGUACAUAUAUAUACAUAUUUUCAUAAUUCAUUAAUAUAUUUUACUGAUAUUAUUUAUUUAUUUAUUUAUUUAUUUUAGAUACCUAUCACUACACCAAAACAGUCUUUUAGCGGCAUUUUUUGUGGCGUUUGAUUAACAAACGCUGCUAAAAAUCGAUCAUUAGCGGCGCUAAACCUAAAAUGCCGCUAAAACCUGAAGAACUAGUGGCGUUUCUAAAAAAACGCCGUAAAAGAACAUAAUUAGUGGCGUUUAUUGUAAGCGCCGCAAAAUACCUUAACCAAAACGCAGCGUUGGUUCAAUUGUAUAUUAGAAUUCGUGGCGUUUUUUAUAAAAAAAAACACCGCAAAAGAAUAGUAUUAGCGGCGUUUAACAAAAAGCGCCACAAAUAUCUUAAGGAAAACGCACCAUUUUAUCUUGAGGUAGAUUAAUAUUAGUGGCGUUUUUAAAAAAAUGCCGUAAAAGAACAUAAUUAGUGGCGUUUAUUUGGAUGCGCCGCAAAAUACCUUAACCAAAACGCAGCGUUUGGUUCAAUUGUAUAUUAGACAUUGUGGCGUUUUCUAUAAAACGCCGCAAAAGAAUAGUAUUAGCGGCGUUUUCGGUAAAGCGCCGCAAAUAUCUUAAUGAAAACGCACCGUUUCGUCUUGAGGUAGAUUAGUAUUAGUGGCGUUUUUAGAAAAACGCCGUAAAAGAACAUAAUUAGUGGCGUUUAUUUUUAUGCGCCGCAAAAUACCUUAACCAAAACGCAGCAUUUGGUUUUGAGGUAUAUUAGAAUUAGUGGCGUUUACGAUAAAACGCCGCAAAUAUCUUAACGAAAACGCACCGUUUGGUCUUGAGGUAGAUUAAUAUUAGUGGCGUUUUUAAAAAAACGCCGUAAAAGAACAUAAUUAGUGGCGUUUAUUUGGAAGCGCCGCAAAAUGCCUUAACCAAAACGCAGUGUUUGGUUUUGAUGUAUAUUAGAAUUAGUGGCGUUUAUGGUAAAAUGCUGCUAAAGAAUAGUAUUAGCGGCGUUUUCGGUAAAGCGCUGCAAAACUACUUCAGCCCAACGACACCGUUUUUGGCUUUUGGGGAUUUAGUGGCAUUUUUAUGAAAGCGCCACUAAUACUCAGGGAUUUAAAAUAAUUUAAAAUAUUUGUUAAAAAUGGAUAAAUUAAAAUACUAUUGAUUUUUAAUUUAUGUGGUAAAUUAUUUCAAAUACAAUUGUAAGAGAUAAGAUAGUAUUGAUUUUAAAAUUUUAAUUUAAUUAUCAUUAUAGUUUAGGGUUUAAUAAAUAUGGUUAGGGUAUAUAUAUGGUUAAUUAAUUUAGGAUUUAAGACCGGUUUAGGAGGUACAAUUUUAAGUUUUAUAGAUUAUGGAUUAGGGAUUCUGGUUUAAGGGUUAAUGUGAUUUAAGGUUUAUGGAUUAGGGGUUAGGGGUUAUGGGUUAGGGGUUAGGUUAGGGGUUAGAUGUUAAGAGUUAGGGUUUAGGAUUUAUAAAAUCGGUGUUAGGUUAGAGUUUCGGGUUUAGAUUAAUUAGUGUGUUUUAAGUAUAUAUUAAAUAAGUUUUAGGGGUUAGGGGUUAAAGGUCAUGGGCUAAGGGUUUAGGGUUUAGAGUUAAGGGUUAGGGGUUAGUGGUUAGGGAUUGGGUUAUGGUUUAAGGUUUAGAUUAAUUAGUGUUUUUUAUUUUAUAUAUUAAAUAAAGUUUAGGGGUUAGGGGUUAGGGUUAUGGGUUUGGAGUCGGGUUAGGGAUUAAGAUUUGGAUUAAUUAGUACUUAUUUAAUUAACAUAUUAAAUAAGUUCUUUAUAUAAAUGUAAAGGAGAUAAUAAUAAAUUGUAAAGAUUAUUAAUUUAAAAUUGAUAUGCAAUAUAUAAUAAUUUGAAUAUAAUAAUUUGGAAUUGUAAAAAUUCUAAAAAAAUUGUCAAAAUUACAAAAAAUAAAAUGAAAAUAAAAAAUAAAAAGAAAUAAAAAAACUAAAAUUUUUAUUUUUACCUAAUUUUUAUAAAUAUUACUUAAAAAACUGAGAUUGAUAAUUUUAUCUAAUUUUUUUAAAUAUUACCGAAAUUAACAAAACUAUUCAUUAAAAUCUGGCAAAACGGCGCCGUUUCAAUAGAAAAUUUAAUGUAGUAGUGGCGUUUUUAUUAAAAACGCGCUAUAAAAUAGACAUUAGCGGCGUUUUAUAACAAACGCCGCGAAAUAUUCUUAAUAUUAGAGAUAAAACGGUGCAGUUUUUGGCUGAGAUUCAUACCAUUUGAUAAAAAACUGCGCCGUUUUAUUAUUUACUUUUAGUGGCGCUUUAAAAAAAUGCCGCAAAUUAAUUUAACUAUGUUUUAAGAUUUACGAAAACGCUGCCGUUUUAUCUAUAUUAUUAGUGGCGAUUGGGCUAAAACGCCAGGAGUUCGAGUUAAUGGACUGCAUUUGGCCUAAUAUUUAGUGGCGUUUAUGUAUAAACGCCGCAAUUUUAAGAAAUUGUUUACGAAAACGGCUCCGUUUUCUUAUUUAUCUUUAGUGGCGCUUUUAGUACACGCCGCAAAAUUAUUUUAAUUUUUAUGGAGACGAUGCCGUUUUGUCUAAAACGCCAUGAGUUUUAGUUUACUAAUCGGGGAACGACAGCGUUUGAUCAUAUUACUAGUGGCGCUAGUAUAUAAACGCCGCAAAGUACAGAAAUUGUUUAGGAAAACGGCUUCGUUUUCUUAUUUACUUUUAGUGUCGCUUUUAGUAAACGCCGUAAAAAUGUUUUAAUUUUUAUGGAGACGAUGCCGUUUUCUCUAAAACGCAAUGACUUAGAGUUAACUGAUCGGGAAACGAUAGCGUUUGAUCAUAUUACUAGUGGCGCUGGUAUAUAAACGCCGCAAAUGGGUUAAUUAUUUUGAUGAAAAUGACGUCGUUUUUUUCCCAUCGUUUUGACUGAAGCUAAAACCCGAUUCUCCCCAUCCCCAACCUCAUUCUCCCAAACCCCUAAAAUUUCCCUAAUCUCUUACUGCAUCACAACCUCUCAUUCUCCCAACCCGUCUGCUUCACUGCAUCAACGCCUCCGUUCGUGUCUGGUGCCGCAACCGUUCGGUAAGUUCAACUACUUCCUUCAUCUUCUUCAUGCGCGAAUGUUUCUGGAUAAUCUUUGCUAUUUGAACAAAUAUGGGUCUUUCGAAUAUUGACAUGGAAUUUGGGGCUUUCAACAAAUAUUUACUAGCUAAUUGCGUACAGUAAAAUGGGUCUUUCGAAUAUUACUGGAAUUUGGGGCUUUUGAGCAUUUCGAUUUUCUCAUUUCAAAUUGAAUCAUCUACUGCUGUUCUGUCGAAAAUUAGUUUCCAUUGCUACCAUGUUGAAUCAUUUACUGCUGUUCUGUCGAAAAUUGCAAAAUUGUUCAAAAUUGUUCAAAACCAUGUCGAAAAUUCCAUUGCUACCAUGUUGAAUCAUUUGCUAUGACAGGGCUACUAUACUAAUAUUAGGAAAAUUCCAAUAGUGGCAAGGAACUGAACAAUUUUCGACAUUGUUCAAAACUUGUAAGUUCAAAUUUCUAAAGAGCAAAGUAAUAUUUUAUGUGUGAAAUCUGAGAUUCAAUCUUAUUUUUUUAUUUUUUUCUUUGAUAAUAUAUUUAAAAUUUAUAUACAUUUUUAAUAUAUAAUAUAUAUAGUUUUAAUUGCUACCAUGUUGAAUCAUUUACUGCAUGUUGUUCUGUCGAAAAUUGCAAACUAGUGUUCAAAACCUAUUGAAUGAUAUCUAUUAAUAUUUGCUAUGGCAGGGCUACUAUACUACUAUUAGAAAAAAUCAUCAAUUACAAGUGGCAAGGAACUGAACAUCAUACAGCACUGUUCACAACUUGUAAGUUCAAACUUCUAAAGAGCAAAGUAAUAUUUUUGGUUAUCGAAAUGGGAGAUUCAAAUCUUUUUUUAUUUAUUUUAUUCUUUUAUAAUAUACUAAUAUACAUUUUUUGAUUCAUUCUCUUUAUUAUAUGUAGUUUUAUUUUUCUUUAUUUAGGAACAGAAACUAUAAACUGAUGAGGGAUUAUAAUUUAGACUUUGCUUAAAUCAUCAAACGUAUUUUUUUGUUUGGAUUUCUUUCAUGAAAAUCAAUUCUUUUACUUGGUAACAAAUCUUGCAGCUUUGAAAGGAAUAUGGUCGUAGAAAUUUCUGUUUCUCUAGCAUGUUAUGUUUCUGUACCAUUUUUAUGUUUCAUUAUUUUCUGUUUUCUGUUUUCUGCAUUCUGUUUUCUGUUUUCUAUUUUUUGUUUUCUGUUUUGCUAUUUUCUGUUGAAUGAAGUGUUUAUCAAGUGGAAACAAAAACCGAGUGGUUCCCCCACUGCUCCAUCUUGAGGAGGUUGUCCAGUUUAGAUUAAUUUGUAUCAGCAGUUUGCUAAACAUUGAGAAAAAUAUUAUUUGUCAAAAUCAUCAAUUACAAGUUUUUCUUUUGAUGUGGUUAUGAGUUUUGUGAUGACAAAAGGAUGUUAGAGAGGAUUGGUUCAAUUUGAUGAUUCUAUCGAUCAAGUAACAACAUUAUCCACUUCUCUACUUGUAUAGUUCUGUGUGCUGUAACGGAAAUAGCAAAGAUAAUACAUAGGCAACAAUGAUUUUGACACAUUUUAGUUUUUAUUUAACUUAUUAAUAUUAAAAAAGUAUAUAUUCAUAUAUUUUAUCAUAACUUAUUAAUAUUAAAAAAUAUAUAUAUGUUAAUAUUUUUACAAUUUAAUUUAACUUAUUACUAAUACAUAUAUUGUUCGAAUAUAAUUUUUUAAAAUUUAUAUAUUACAUUAUGGGAAUAUAUAUAUGUUAAUAUUUUUACAAUUUAAUUUAACUUAUUACUAAUACAUAUAUUGUUCGAAUAUAAUUUUUUAAAAUUUAUAUAUUACAUGACUUAAAUAUAUAUAUGUUAAUAUUUUUACAAUUUAAUUUAACUUAUUACUAAUACAUAUAUUGUUCGAAUAUAAUUUUUCAAAAUUUAUAUGUUACAUUACUUAAAUAUAUAUAUGUUAAUAUUUUUACAAUUUAAUUUAACUUAUUACUAAUACAUAUAUUGUUCGAAUAUAAUUUUUCAAAAUUUAUAUAUUACAUUACUUAAAUAUAUAUUUUUAAGUAUAUUUUAGAUGUCUUACAAUAUUAAUAAAUAAAACAUAUUUUUUACUAAAUUUUACUCUUAAUAUAUUACUUGAAUAUAUUACUUAAAUAAAUUACUUAAAUACAUUACUUACUAAAAUUUUGUUAAAUUUUUUACUUAAAUAUGUUACUCAGUUACAUUAAUUACUAAAAUUUGGUUAAAUUUUUUUACUUAAAUAUGUUACUUGAAUACAUUACCCGCUAUAAAUUUAAGUAUAUAUUACAUUACUUACAGAACUUGUUAAAAUAUAUUAUAGUUUUAAAUCGGUUAUAAAUCAGAUACGUAAUACUGAUAUACUUACAUCAUACAUAUCUUACAUAACCAAAAUUUGUAUGUACAAGAACUUACAUAAUUUACACAACUUACUUAACCUACAUAACUUACAUAAUACAAAGCUUACAUAACUAAAAUAGCUUACACAACUUACAUAACAUACAUUACUUUGAUAACUUACAUAAGUUACAUAAUACACAACUUACAUAGUUUACUUAAUACAAAACUUACAUAACUUAUACACGUACAUAACCUACAUAAUUUACUUAAUACAUAAAUAUAUAUUAUAUGAUAUACUUACAUAACUCAUUUAUACUUACCACUGAACAACUUACCCUUGUAAUUUCUGGUGACAAUCAGACUUCAAGAAAUAAGAAAUGGACCGUUCUUGGAUGAAUUUGUCAAGGGUAAGCGACGGUUAUCGAAAUGGAGUACAGGCUUUUCUAAAUUUUGCAUUUCAAUAUGCAAGCCAGGAGAACAUGAUUCUUUGCCCGUGUAAGAAGUGUGUCAACAUAAACUGGCAUUAUCGUGAAGUUGUAUAUGAGCAUCUAAUUGUUGAUGGGUUUGUUCGGGGUUAUAAACAAUGGUUUUUUCAUGGAGAAUGCCUGCCUAGUACUUCCUCUUCAAGGAUGGAUGUGUCUUAUGAUAGUACUACUUACCACCAGUCUAAUAGAGGGGAUGACAUGGAAGGUAUGUUGCGGGAUGCAUUUAAUAUGCACAAUCAUGGUGUCUAGUCGUUCCCAAUGGACUUUGUGGCUUCUGAUGAUUGUAAUAUUGGGAGAAAUGCUUUUACCGAACUGGGAAGUAGUGUACGUCAUGAAGAGCCGAACGAAGAAGCGGCGAAGUUUUACGCGUUACUUAAUGACAUGAACGACGACCUGUAUGAGGGAUCAAAAUUUUCAAAAAUGUAUUUCUGUGUUCGUCUUUUUCAAUUAAAAUGUUUGGGAGGAUGGACCGGAAACUCUUUGACAAUGCUGUUAGAGUUCUUGAGAGAAAUGUUUCCUUUUGCAAAAAUCUCUCAGUCAUGCAAAGAUAUGAAGAAAUUGAUAAAAGAUUUAGGCCUUGGGUACAAAAAAAUCCAUAGUUGCCCAAAUGACUGCAUUUUGUAUUGAGGCGAUCGAAGAAAUCAACAGUGCUGUCAUGUAUGCAGCCACUCCUGUUGGAUAAGUAAAAACUUAGAAGGUGGGAACGAUGAUGAAAAUGAUGCACAGUCAAGAAAGAAGCCAGUCAAGGUUUUACGGUAUUUUCUGCUGAUACCGAGGCUUCAAAGGCUUUUCAUGUCGUCGAAGACUACGGAGUCUAUGACGUGGCACCAUGAUGGAAGAACCGAUGAUGGAUUAUUAAGGCAUCCGGCAAAUUCUUUAGCUUGGAAAUCAUUUGACAAUAAAUUUCCAGGCUUUGCAAGCGAUCCUAGGAGUGUGAGGCUUGGGCUAGCAUCUGACGGAUUUAAUCCUUUCAAGAUCAUGAGCACUGCGUACAGUACUUGGCCAGCAGUGCUUGUUCCUUACAAUCUGCCUCCGUGGAUUUGCAUGAAGCAAUCUUCCCUUAUCUUAUCUAUGAUUAUCCCUGGAGAGAAAGGGCCCGGGAAUGAUAUCGACAUUUAUUUGUAGCCACUUAUUGAAGAGUUAAAACAAUUGUGGGCUGGUGUCGAGACAUACGAUGUGUUGAGAAAAGAGAACUUUAAUUUAUGUGCAGCUUUGAUGUGGACCAUUAAUGACUUUCCCGCUUAUGCCAAUUUAUCCGGUUGGAGUACCAAGGGUCGUUAUGCAUGUCCUUGUUGUGCUGCAGAAACAUGUUCGCAGUGGUUGUACAAUGGGAAGAAGUUCUCUUACAUGGGGCAUCGUCGGUGGUUACUGGAAAAUCAUAGAGUUAGAUUUUAGAGUUCUUUAUUUGAUGGUACUGAAGAGUUUAGAGAAGCUCCUUCGCAGACCAGUGGCUCUGAAAUCUUAUUCAUGUUGGAAGAUAUGAAUUUCAUUUAUGGGAAGAUGAACCAACCGCCAAACACGCAAAGAAAUAGAAUAUUAAAUGAUGAAGCUGAUGAUGACUCUAAUGUAGAUGACGAUCCUAACGAGGCGGACUUGUGGAAAAAAAAGUAUUUUUUUUGAGUUGCCUUAUUGGGAGCAUCACCUGUUACGACAUAAUCUUGAUGUUAUGCACGUUGAGAAAAAUGUCUGCGAGAACAUUGUGGGUACAAUUUUGAAUGUCGAGGGAAAAUCAAAAGACAAUCUUCAGAGUCGACUUGAUUUACUCCAAAUGGGAAUCCGACCUGAUCUUCAUCCCAAUCCACUUCCAAAUGGGAAAUAUCGGUUGUCGCCUUAUAUUUUUUCAAUGUCGAAGACAGAAAAAGAAGUGUUCUGCACGGUGUUGAAGGAUAUAAAGGUUCCAGAUGCGUAUGCAUCAAAUAUAUCUCGAUGUGUUAACGUUAAAGAUCGAAUAUUAUAUUCGCUAAAAUCACAUGACUAUCACAUCUUGAUGCAAGAUUUACUGCCAGUGGCUCUACGAUGUUGUAUGUCCAAGAAGGUGAUGUCUUGUAUAAUUGAACUAUCCAACAUAAUGAAAGCCAUUUGUGGCAAAGUUUUGGAUGUUCAAGAACUUCAGAAGGUACAGGAUCGAGCCGCUUUGACUUUAUGCAACAUGGAGAAAAUCUUCCCACCUUCCUUCUUCACCAUUAUGGUUCACUUGAUAAUCCAUCUCCCGCGCGAAGCAAUUCUUGGUGGACCCGUUUUCUAUCGAUGAAUGUAUCCCAUAGAAAGGUGUUAAUUAAAAUUUUUAAAUUUUUCCUUCAUUCACAUAUAUGCCUUUAGUUUCAAUAAUUAAGAAAUGUUGUUAUUGUGUUUAGGUUCCUAUCCGAAUUAAAGUCUUACUGCCGCAACAAGCGAUAUCCAGAAGGAUCGAUUGCUGAAGGGUACUUGGCAGAGGAAUGUAUGACCUUCUACUCAAGAUAUUUGGAAGAUGUUGAAACAAGGUUAAACAGACCAAAUAGGAAUGCUGGACUCACGGACCAUAACUUAGCCGAUACUUAUUUGUUCCAAAGUUUUGGAGAACCAAUCGGCAAAGUUGAAAUUACAGAAUUAGAUCAUUUAUCGUGGGUACAAGCACAUCGAUAUGUUCUGUUUCACCACGAAUCAUUGGAACCUUUACGGAAGUAAGUUCUACAAAUUUGAUAAAUAUUUAUCAAACUAAUAACUAUUUAUCUUCUAACAAGGUGAACAUUUUUUUAACAUAGUGAGUACAAACAAAUAUUGAGAUCUCGUUCGCGCUCCCGAAGAACACAACAUCAAGAUAUCAAUAAGAUGUUUACAGAAUCUUUUUAUGAAUGGUUAAGCCAAACGGUAUGCAGUUGGAGCUUCCGCUUACAAAUAAUAAUGUUUUCUCAUAACAUUUUUAAUUACUUAGUUUACUUUCCGUUCAAUAGAUUUGGAGUGGGAAGAACGUAAACGACGAAGUUAAAUGGCUCUCCCAAGGUCCAAAUCGAGUGGUUAAAAGAUAUAGUGCGUUCCUCAUCAACGGAUUCAGAUUUCAUACAAAAUAUCGCGAGAGGUUGAGGAGACCGCAAAAUUAUGGAAUAGUUGUCAAUUCUGCAAUUACAAGUUAUGCUAGUGCUAGGGACAAUAAUCCUGUUGAGGGAAAUGUGGAAUAUUUCUUACAUCUAACUGACAUAAUUGAGUUGGAUUACUACGGAAAAUGGAAAGUUGUCUUAUUUUGAGGUGAUUGGGCCAAUGUUAAUACAGCUCGUGGAAUUAAGCAAUAUCAAUUUGGUUUUACAAUGGUGAAUUUUGACCGAUUGAUUCACACAGGACAACAACUGAUAGAUGAGCCGUAUGUAUUCUCAUCUCAAGUCAAACAAGUUUUUUACUCAAAAGAUCCAACUGAUGAGGGUUGGUAUGUUGUACUCCGUAACAUCCCUAAAGACUUGUUUGAAAUGGGCAGUGGAAGUAGAUAUAACAUCGACGACAGAUCAGAAACUUUGCCCUUUCCAGAACAAAACUUAAACGACAAUAUCCCUAGUACUAGUGCACAAUUUCAAUGGGUUCGUCAGGAUACCGAUGAAGAUAUUUACGAAUAAUGAUGUAGCAAGAUUUUACGAUUCUUUAUUUAUAUGUAAUAUAUUAUAAUUUAAAUAUUGGUCUUAUUAUAUAUUUCAACUGUUUUAUAUGUGCUGAUAUUGUUGUAAUUAGUUAUUAAGUUGUCAACUAUUUUAUGUGUAUUGCAGAUAAAAUGCCUAGAAGAAAAAUUCUAAGGGGAAGCAUUACGAGGAAUGAUCCUAACUCGACAGAGACAAAUAGUACUGAAUAGCAGACAGCAAUUGGAUCUUCGAAUGUUCCGAUUACAGCUGAGGAUCCUACAGAAGUUCAAAGUAAUUUUACGUUUAAUUUACAUGCAUGUUUCUGUUAUAGUUGAUUUAUUUUUCAAAUUCUUAUAUUAUAAUAUACCAUUUGUAGCUGAAAAUGGUGGGACGCGCAGAGGUCGAGGACGUACGCUACUUAGAGAGUUAUACGAGUUAGAUCCAGUCGAGCGUGUCAAAGUUGGACGAAACAGUUUUGGUCAGCCUGUUGGAUCAGAAGCUCGACUUUUAGCAGGAUACAUGGGCAUUUUAGCACGAAAUGCGAAUAUGUUGCCUAUCAACUACGAGUCAUGGCAUCAAAUGCCCGAAAGCAACAAAAACCAAGCCCUCGAUAAUAUUAAGGUAACAAAAUGUUAAUGCCAUUUGUAAUGCUUGGGAAAUAGUUUCAUUUAUAUUUACUUUAUUACCUUGUGUUUUUUGUUUUUUGUAGGCGAGGUUUGCUUUAGAGGUCUCGGAUGCUUACGUAAAGAAAGCAUUGGGAAAAGGAUGGAGAGACAAUAAAAGUACUUUGAAGAAAAUUAUUAUAAAACAAAAACAACCCUAGAUGAGAAAUUGCAAAAUGUCCCGCCGGGUAUGUUGAGGUACCAAUGGGAAGAUGCGGUUAAAUUUUGGCAUUCGAAGAAAGGCGAGGUAUGACGUACUUCCAAACUAUUGUAAUUAUUUUGGUUUAUAGUAUUUUCUAUUUACGUACUAAAAAUUUCAUAACGUAGGAUCGUGAACAAGUUGGAAAAAGUAGCAGGCAGAAACAAAAAUUCACCCACAUAGCCGGGUCGAGAAGUUUUGCAUGUGUAGCUGAGGCGGAGGUAUUUUUAAUUUUUUUAAUAUUGUCGAAUAUGUAUAACUUUCUGUUAAAUAAUAUUUAUACUACCAUAUUGUAGGAACUGUCGUCCGGUCAAAAAGUUGGACGCCUUCAACUUUUUGAAAUUACACAUAGGAAGAAAGAUGGAUCUCCCAUGACUCCUGAAGCUGGUGAAAUAAUGGUACGUUUACUUAAUAAGAUUUGACUUAUUUUAGUUAUUUUUAGUGUUUAUUUUCUAAUGGUAUAAUUCAUUGCUUGUAAUGCAACUAUUGUUAUGUUGCAUAUGUUUUUUAAUAUAUAUAAUAUUGCGUUCCUAACUAUGUGACUUAUUUAUUAGGAAAAACUAAAGGAUAAAAAGGCGGAGUACGAAGCGAUUGCUUCUAGUGAUAGUUCUGUUCAUCUUGAAGACAUUGAUAACCGGAUUAUUACUGAAGUUUUGGGUCCGGAAAGGUAUGGUCGGGUUCGAUUUCAAGGAUCUUUUGUUAGCCCAACCCAAUAUUUUGGAUCCAGCUCCCACCAAUACAUGGCUUUGGGGAGUCAGGCUCAAGCUGAAGUUCAGAGGUUGAAAGACCAAAUGGCUGAGAUGCAAGCGACCACAGUUGAGGUUCAAAGGAAAUAUGAAGAACUCCAGCAACAACUUAAAGCAGAGGCGGCAGCGAGGGAAGCGGAAGCUGUAGCGAGAGAAGCAGAGCAGGCCAAAAAGUACGACGAACUCCAGCAACAGCUUCAGGCUGUGAUGAAGAUGUUUCAGUCGCAACUUCCGCCUUCAUAAUGUAUGACAUAAAUAUUUUUAUCAUUUUAACAUUUAACAUUUUUGCAAAAAUAUUAUGAAUUCACUUUUAUUUAUUGAUAUUAAUAUUUUUUUAUUCGUUUAAUUUGAAAUAUUAUAUAAAUUUAUUGCUUUUGGCUGGUUUAAAUCUGGUUCCUUUUGAUUUGUUGCUACAGGAGGCUGAAAAAAUGAAAAAUUUAAUAUAAAAAAUCCCAAAAAAUAGUGGCGUUUUUUUCUAAGCGCCGCUAAAGAACAUGGUCUUUAGCGGCGUUUUUUUUUUUGUAAACGCUGCAAACUUUUGCGACGUUUUCGUUAGCGGCCUUUUUUGCGGCGCUUUUAGAAGCGCCGCAAAUACCUUUAGUGGCGUUAAAAAGCGCCGCUAAAGACCUGUUUUGGUGUAGUGUAUACAUAUUUUAUAUUUUAUUUUUAUAACUUUUAUAUACAUUUUUAAUAUAUGCAUGCACAUAUUUUUUCAAAUUCACUUAUAUAUCAUAUUUUAUUUUGUAAAUACAUACACAUAUAUCAUUUAAAUUCAAGUAAUGGUUUCAUGUUAUGUAUCAACAUUUAAAAAAAAACACCUUGGUUUCGUUAAAGUACCAAAAUCAUCAUAUUUUAUAAAUUUUCAAAAUAUUUGGUAUUCAUGAUUCUCGAGAAAGAUCGUGUCCUAACUUACUGGAUUGUGGUUAUUUUUCGAUGAAUUUAGAAAACCAAGUAUUCAUUUUGCAAUAAAUUCACACAAAUUUCAAAUAAAAGCUUAUUCUAGGGAAUCCAAAAAUGUCGGGUCCAAACUUAAUGGUCAUGACAUUUUUUUAUCUCGAAAUAAGAAUUCUUAAAACAAAAAGUAAUAUUUGGUAUUUGGAAUUUUGAGAAGUCGUGCCCUAACUUACUGGGUUUCGAUUUUCUUCAUUCAACUUAGAUAACCGAAUAUUCUUAGAUUUAACUGUGUGAGUUUAAAAAUCAAAAGCAAACUUAAUUUUGAAGAUUUAAAAAUAUUGUGCCCUAACUUACUGGGUGUGAUGCUUUAUUUCUUUGAAAUGGAAAUGUUUUAUUAUUUUAAUUCAUUCAUGAGAUAAAAAGUUUUUCUUUUAAAAUUUUUUCAAAUUUUUCGACACCAAGACAUUAAACAAUCAAUUCGGUACCGAUUUUGGGCGUCACGAGGGUGUUAACCCUUCCUCGUGCGUAACUGACUCCCUAACCUAUUUUCUCAUAAUUCGUAGACCAAAAUUGUUUUAAAGGUGAGCCGAUCACACCUUAACAAAGGGUCGGUGGCGACUCCAAUUUUUGUUUUUUCAAAUCAAUAACAAAUUUUUGUUUUUCAAAAAAUGGUUUUGAAAAAUACUAUUACGCCUCUAUUCCAUUACAUUCAACCAAAAAAUUGAAUUACUAUUACGCCUCUAUUCCAUUACACCUCUAUUCCAUUACAGCGAACCAAACGUGCCCUUAAGGUAUUCAAAUUAUACAUAAUUACAUAAUGUUUUAAUUGAAAACUUAACGAUAUUAACUAUUUGAACUAAACAUUAACAUUAUUAAAAAUUAUACAGAUCAAAUUAUAUUAAAAUUUUAAAUUUAAAUUAAGGAACAAAAACUAAAAUUUAACUAUUUAUAAAUAAAAAAAAAAGUGCCACUUUUCAAUUUUAGGCCUUUUGUAAAUAGGUAUAUAGGUUUUGACACUUAGUGUCCAUUUGUUUACAUAUAAAAUGGUUUUCGGAAAAUGAUUUCUGGAAAAUUAGUUACUUUUUUGAAAAAGCUAAUAUUUCCUAGUGUUUGAAUCUGUGCAAAAUAUUUUUCGUUAUUUGACAGAUUUCUUGAAUUUUUUUUAUAAAAGCUGUUUUAAAAUGAAACAAAUGUACAUUUGAGAAUUUCUUGAAUUUUCAUUGUUUAAUUCAGUUUAUUUUAUAUCUAUUAAAUUUAUAUUUUACAUUAUUUUUCCAUAAAUUGCAAUGAUUUAUUUACAAAUAAAUACAAAUAUAUAAUAGUACUCAAUUAUUAAGCUAGAAUAUUAACAUUCAUAAAUUCAAAACAACUAAAGUGAAUUCAGAAGGCAUGUUUGUUUUCAUCAAUGAAGCAUUUUAUCAAAUACUUUCUAAGUUGAGCUCAACCUUACAGAACACAAAAGAAUCCCAAAUAAUGAUAAGACUUCCAAAACUGCCAUUUGAAGAUUAACCAAUAAAUUCUCAAUUGUCAGAGGGUCAUAAACAAGAUAAGUUAGGAGUUGGGCAGGAGAUGUGGCCAAGUCCUCCCUAUUAUUCAGCAGAGCAACCCUAGCAAUAGCAACAAAACCCAUAGUCAAGUUCCACAAACCCCCAAUUCCUUUUUUUUUCCAACCAUAUCAAAAUCAUAUAUGUAGGAAGAAUUUGUGCAGCAAAGCCCUAAAACUACUUUGAUUUCUCGAAUACUAUAGUUUUACGAAAAUUUCUUACAUGUAUCCUAAUUUGAAACUUUCCUCUGCAACCACAACUAUCUCAGUCAACAGCCUGGAAAAAUAGCCUAAUUGACAUUGAGUGUUGCUCUUCAGUCAAUUGAAGAAACCAGUUUCUUAAAAGAUCUGUAGGCAAUAAACUAGUUUAUUGCGGGGACAACUGUCAUAGAGUUAGUUUGGUAAGGGACCAUCACAUAAACAAAAUCGUAAAACUAAAAGGUUGUUCAGGUAAUGGUUCACUGGAUUCUAUAGGCCAAAAUGGUUCGCUGCAAACAGACAUGUUAAAUCUUAAAAGCAAUGUAUAGUAAAUAAGGUGGAUUACGGGGAAGUAAUCUAAACAAAUUUACAACCCGAGUAGGGUGAGAUGAGAUUCAGUCCGCUAGAGUGGCGUGGGUCUCUAUUAGUUAACUCAACUGAUGGGAUGUCAGCAAGUCCUUUAGGACUACAGUAAGAAAGAGAGUCUGCCAAGAGUUAGAUGAUUUGGAAGGUAAGGCAAGGAAGGCGUAACAAAAGGGGUCCUUAGAUGGAGGUUCAGGAGAACCACCCUAUAAGCAUAUGGCGAAAAAGAGAAGGUAGGAAAAGAAAAAAAAGUUUGCAAGCAUUGCAAGACAUUGGAAAAGUAAUUAACCUAGUCAGAUGGUGUAGGAUCGACCAAAGGGAAAAUCGCUUAUCAAUCUAUCUGUAAAUAGACGAGUAUGAAAAAUGAAUCGGAGGUCACUAUCUAGAUUAAGAGAAAUUGUCCUUAAACAACCAGAGAGUUAAUUGUGUUUAAUUUCUUUUCAUAUUACUAGCCCUGCAAUAUGGGAUUUAUUCUUGAAUAUUGCAGUAUAGAAACUCACUAAGUUCAAUUGAACUUGUAAAAUUUUGGCCUAUGCUUGCAGGACUCAUUGGAUGAUUAAUGAUCUUGAGGAGAGACCAAACCAGACCGUGUUAGAUCGAGGAUCAUCGUCAGUAAGGUGCCAUACACAUUGGACAGGGUACCUUCAAAGGCUCCGCCUCGAAGUUGGUUAUAUUGUUAUUAAGUAGUUUUCUUAGGAUUUAAAUUUUUAGGGUAGUCAAGUCAUGUUUGGCUUAAGAUUUCAAUUGUAAAAAAUAUUUGUAAUAAAGUAGUAGGGUCUUUUGGCAAAUUUUCUGAUGAAAGUGUCAAACCAAAUCGGUUCAAUUGUAACACUUUAUACCCGGACUUGGUGAUUGGGUGGGGUAAAGGCAUUACAGUUUAUCUAUAACAAAAAAUAGAGUCAAUUCGUAUUAGAAAAGAUCACACUAUCAUAGGUUAUUGUGGCAUGUAUUUCUAGACUCAACACGUGCUAUGUUUCAGUCCUAAAAUUGACAAAACCGUAGCUGUGAUACCACUAAAGGUAACACUCCUCGCCCGACCCGAUCGUCGGGCUCGAGAUACAUGAUGUCAUAUUCGUUGCCGAAGCAACUAUAGUCAAAUACACAAUAAAUAAUCAUUCAUACAUGCCAAUAAGUGUCAAUCACAGUUAAAUCAUGUUAAACAAUUAAUUUUGAGUCUUAAUCGAGUUUACGAAAGCUUCUGUGUCCACCUAAACUCGAAAUAAGACCAAAUUGUAAAGUUUUAAAAGUUCAGCGUCAACAUCGUGACCACAUUGUAACAUCGCCAAAUAUUUUUUCAUGUCACGACAUCAAGCCACUCGACGUCGCAACGUCACAUACUGUCUAUCGACAUUGGGACGAGGAAAGUUGCUAAGCGGAAUGAGGACUUUUUUUUUGUAAAAAUGAAUCAUUUGGUACCUAUUUCAAAGUUUCCAACCAAACCUAACAACAUAUUUAGAAAAUACCAAUUUCAAUUGAAUCAAAACAUGUUAAAUAGUUCAAGCAUCCAUGUUCAAGUUCUUAUCAAGUCAAUCACUACUUAUACCCCAUUUAAACCUAAACAAUUCAAUACCAUUACAACCUAAUAAUCAAGUCAUGCAAUUUCCAAACUUUACCUCUAUCAAACCACCUUGAAACAUACCAUUUCAAUUUCAUUAUAAACACUUAAAAACACAUAUACGUAUUUAUGACAUAUAAACAUUAAGCAUAACUAUCAACUUUCAAAAUUAAGUUACAUUUCACAAGCAUACUUUAAGUUACUUACGUUCAAGUACAUUUCCAUUUCAUUCACCAAUCAAACAAGCUACCAUUUCUACCUCAUUUCAUACCAUUCCAUACACUGUUCAUAUAGUUAUAGAACAUCACAUCUUUAGCAUAGGAGUACAUAUAUGUCCAAUACCAUAUGCAAUCCAAAACACCACUUCAACAUGAUAGAUAAUGGUUAAAACAAACUUUCCACAAGUAAAUACAUUCACAUACCAAGAUAUACACCAUAUCACCUAUAUACAUGCCACAACCCUAGACUCAAAAUUACCAACUAGCUACCCAAAUUGGGAUAGUGUGAGCUUUGAAAUGAUCCAGCUUGACGUGUUUCACAAGGUAACAAUCUACAAGGAAAGGGGAAAAUAACUAGGUAAGCAUAGAAAAUGCUUAGUAAGUUCAUAUGAAAUUUACAUUACUUACCUUAUUUUGUUCAACAAGUUAAAUUACUAAUCACAUUGGCAUUCAAUAUGGCUUUCCGUGACAUACAUUAAUGCAACUAAUACAUAUCAUCAUAUACAACCAAAUAGGUUAGUCAAUUUGCAUAUCAAGAAAAUUAAGCAGGAUUUCAUAUAACACAUCUCAAAUUAAAUUCAUAUGCAAUCCAUUUCUAAAUCAUUUCAAGUUUCUACUUCCAUUAGAUUAAAUUUUUCCUGAGGGAAUUAUAGUAAAACGAACUCGGAUACACGGGAAUAUUUUGCUCACACAAACUGAUAUAUAUCAGGGUUGCUCACACAAGUUGACAUCAUAUCAAGGUUAUCCAUCUGAGCUAAACCAACGAUAUGUAUAACCAAAGAAUCUUCAACAAAUGCUAGAUCUCGUAACAUGUAAAUCCCUCAUCAAUUAUGUGCAUAAUCCUAAUGGCAUGCCAUAUGUAUCUUAAUCUUUUAUUAAGUUCACACGGGCAUAAUUGUCGUAUAUAUAUCAUUAACAAAUCUUGUACCAGUUUAUGUAUUUCAUUACAAGUCCUUUAAACAUUCAACAUCCAUAUUGGUAUUCCUUACGUUUUCAUAAUAGCUAAUAUUUUCAUGAUUUUCAAUUCAAUCCAUUUUAAGCCCAAUAUGUCAAUUUCACUAAAUUCACUUUAAUUUAAACACAUAAAUGAAAAAAAACACAAUUCAAUAUAGCAUAAAAUAAAGUAGUAAGUUCCAUAUAAACUUACCUAGCCAAAACACUCCAACAAGUUAAAUCCUCAAGAACUAAUCAACAAUUUUGAUUUUUUCUCGUUUAUCUUCGGUUUAAUCCAAUUCUUGAUCUAAACAAUUAUUUUAGACAAUUCAUCAAUACAAAACAUUUUUAUAUUAUGCCAUAACAUGAAUAAACCUAUAUAAUUUCAUUUUUUGAAUACCCCUAAAUUUUUACAUUUUACUAAAUUUAGUCCCUAAAAUCGAAAUAACAAUAUCUUUCCAUUUUGAGAUUUGAUUUAAAAACAUAUUCCAAUUACAUCCCUUAUGAACCUUCUACUAUCUAUUUAUACCAGAAUUUUACAAUAAUUUUGCAUUUUAUUCACUUUAGUCCCUAUGUACAAAACUGACCAUUAAACUUUAUAAUCUAGUCUUUUUUUUCAUAAUCUAAGCUUAAAAUCUAUCAAUUUAACACCAAUUUCUUCAAGAAAUCAACAAUGGAAACCUUCAAAAACUUUAACAACUUUAAAAAUCGGUACAUUGGCUAGCUAAAUCAGGCUCCCAUGACCAUAAAAACAUAAGAUUUUAUAAGAAAAUGAUUGAAUUUAACAUACCAAUUGAUAGCCAAAAGUUUGAAGCUUCAAAAGGGUUUUCUUUCUUUUACAUACGGUAAGAGGAAGACGAAUGAAAAAUGAUUUUUCUUUAACCUUAUUUUAGCUUAUAUAGUUAAACUAGGGAUUAAUUAUUUAAUUAAUUAAACUAAUCAUGUAACGACCCGAAAUUCAAUGGUGUCAAAAAAUAUGGUUUUAGAACCCUAUUUUCAUCAACCAUGUUUGUAAAUAUUAAAUAUAAAUAUUUACGAGGCUAAUAUAGAAAUAUAUUAAAGUUUGGUCUAGUAAUUUUGCCUAAUUAGUAGUUAAUUAAGGUACAAAUGUAAUGACCCUAAAGUCAAUGGUGUUGGAAGUGCAAUUUUAGGACCCCAUUUCCAUAAACCGAGAUCUUAAAUAUUUUUACUAAACAUUUAUGGUGCUAUAUUAGAAGCAAAUUGAAUUUUGGAUAAGCAUUUUUAUCAAAAUAGGAAUUUAUUAAGGUAUAAUGACUGAAUUGUAAAAGUAGAAAAAUUUCAAUUGCUAAAAAAUAUUUAAUUAGAAUUUAAAGUAUGGCUUAAUUUUGUAAUUUUACCACUCUAAGAAUGUUAGUGGAUGAUGGCUUAAUAGAUUAUAAGGUUAUGUUAUAAAAUUUAAUUAAAUUAUAAUAUUUAUAAUAAAACUAAAAUAAAACCAUGUAAUAAAAACUUUGUUGGAAGAAAGAGAAAAACAUUUUCUCUUCAGCUUCCCCAUUCAUUGAAUUCAUCAUAAAAGAAAAAAGGAAAGAAGCUUUCGGCCUUAAAGUUUUGAAGUUUGGCAACAAAUUGGUUAGUGCAAUUUAUUCUAUUUCUUGUAAUUUUUGUAUUUUUGAAAUCACAGGAGCUUAAUCUAGUUGACCCGCGUGUUAUUUUUUGAAGCUAUUAAAGGUUGAGAAAGAUACUAUGGUUGAACUUUCGAAGUUAUAGGUACCAAAUUGAUAGAUUUUAAGCUUAGAAGUGAAAAAGGAUUAAAUUGUAAAGUUAAUUGAUAGUUUUGUACAUUAGGGACUGUUAAGUAUGACUCCUAUUUUCAGUCAAAUUUGAGAAAUAAUCUUUUAGUUAAACUCUGUUUAUUUGUUUCAGUAAAACACUGAUUAGUUUAGAUUAUUUUAUUAUUAUUUGACAUAUGAAUUUAGCCUAUAAAUAGGCUCUUUUACAACCUUAGUAAAACACCCAAUUUAGAUAUUAGAACUCAUAACACAUUUAGAGAAUUUUGUGUUUAUGUUUUGAGGGUUAUUUGUUUUCGGGGUUUGGGGUUUAGUUUUAUCUCCAUCUUUUGUACUCUUCGUUCUUUUGCCAUUAUAGUAAAAUUAACUUUGCCCGUGGUUUUUUAUCCUCUUUGGAGAGGUUUUUCCACGUUAAAUUUGUGUGUUCAAUUUCUCAAUUUAUUCUGCUAUUUUUGUUACUUGUUGCUUAAUCGGGUCGAUCCCUAACAAGUGGUAUCAGAGCUAGUUCAAAUUUCAUAAAUCAGCCCAUUCAUAUAUGGUAACAACAAGGUUUGAAAUUGAGAAUUUCGAUGGUGAGACAAAUUUCAAUAUGUGGCAAGUUCGGAUGAUGGCAAUUCUAGUUCAAUCCAGUUUGAAAAAGGUUGUUACCAGGAAAAAGCCUGAGAAUCUAAAUAAAACAGAAUGGGAAGAGCUUGAUGAAAAGGCCUUGUCUACAAUCCAGUUGUGCCUCGCGAAUACAGUAUUACAGGAGGUAUUGAUGGAGAAGACCUCAUCCGCCUUGUGGAAAAGGUUAGAAACUCUUUAUGCGACUAAGUCUCUGGCUAAUCGUUUAGUGUUGAAAUAACAUCUAUUUACGUUUCGCAUGAACGAAGGUGAGCUUCUUAGAGAUGCAUCAGUUAAUUCAUUACUCUUUUAAAUGAUUUAAAGAACUUUGAGGUUCAUAUUGAUGAUGAAGAUCAAGCUAUGCUAUUAUUGUGCUUUUUAUCCCAUUCUAGUCUUGUCUUUCAAGAAAACCCUGAUUUAUGGCAGAGACAAAAUCUCAUUCGAAGAUGUGAAGGGUCAUUUGUUGAGUAGAGACAAACUCGACAAUGAGCUUCAUUUGGAUAGCAAGGCAGAUAGGCAAACUUUCAUUUUGGUAGCAUCAAAGAAACGAGACAAAAGGUGUCGCUAUUGUAAAAAGUUAGGUCACGUCAAAGCAGAUUGUUAUAAACUGUGAAAUAAAAGAGCUGCUGAGAGUAACGAGAAAGAUGUAGCUGGUGCUAAUUUGGCAGAUGAAAGCGGUGAUGAUUUCUUGUUAGUGUCAACGAGCGAUAACUCCAAGCUCACGUCCAAGUGGAUCCUAGAUUCAGGAUGUUCUUUCCACAUGUGUCCCAAUAGAAAAUGGUUCUCUACAUACAGUUCAGUUGAAGGUAGAGUUGUGCGUAUGGGAAGCGAUUCAUCUAGUAAGGUAAUUGGUAUUGGUACUGUUAAAAUUAGGACACACGAUGGGACGAUUAAGACACUCUCAGAUGUCAGGUAUGUACCUAAUUUACGAACAAAUCUCAUCUCCUUGAGUUUUUUAAACUUGAAAGGAUGCAGAAUCAAUAUUGAGUCGAGCAGCAUUAAAGUAUCUCGUAGAGCUCUCGUUUUGUUAAAAGGUAAAAGAACUGGCAGUCUUUAUAUUCUGGAAGGUUCUACAAUGACCAGUGAAAUCGGACGUCCCUCAUCCGUUACAGAGUCGAAGUCAACUCGUUUGGAGCGAAGGCAACUUGGUUAUAGGGGAAAAAUGUAUGACCAUUUCGUUGAAGAGAGGUUCUCUUUUGGAUGCAGGUUUUGAAAAGUUAGGGCACUGUGUUCGUGAAAAUCAGACCCGAGUUAGUUUUGAUUUGGCAGUGUACAAGUCAAAGGCUAGAAGUCUUCCAGUUUCUAAGCACAAAUUCGACUUAGUUGAUUCCCUGCAUAGUUCAAGAUAGGCUCGUGGCGGGCUUUGGCAAAGAUGGCAUUGUGAAAAUAUGAGUCAAGGUGGAGAUUUGUUAAGUAUGACUCCUAUUUUUAGUCAAAUUUGAGAAAUAAUCUUUUAGUUAAAACUCUGUUUAUUUGUUUCCGUUAGACACUGAUUAGUUUAGAUUAGUUUAUUAUUAUUUGACAUAUGAAUUUAACCUAUAAAUAGGCUCUUUUACAACCUUAGUAAAACACCCCAUUUAGAGAUUAGAACUCAUAACACAUUUAGAGAAUUUUGUGUUUACGUUUUGAGGGUUCUUUAUUUUCGGGGUUUGGAGUUUAGUUUUAUCUUUAUCUUUUGUACUCUUCGUUCUUUUGCCAUUAUAGUAAAAUUAACUUUACCCGUGGUUUUUUAUCCUCUUUAGAGGGGGUUUUCCACGUUAAAUUUGUGUGUUUAAUUUCUCAAUUUAUUCCGCUAUUUUUGUUACAUGUUGCUUAAUCGGGUCGAUCCCUAACAGGGACCAAACUAAAUAAUUUCUAAAAUUGGCUGUAAAAAUGAAAAAUAGGAUAUCCCUAAUGGAUUAUAUUGAAAUUAUAAUUUAAUUUGGAGUUCUAAUUUGAAAGUUAUGUUAAUCCCGAUUUUAGGGACUAAAUUGAAUAAAAUGCAAAAUUUUUGUAAAUUUUUAAUUGAGUGUAGAAUUGACUGCAUAUUGAUGUUUUUGUAUAUUUAUGUUAAUCUGUUGCUAAUGACAACUCGAAUUCCUUGAAAAGGAAGGGAAGAGAUAAAGUUGUCGACGAAUAGCUUAGAAUUUACAGUUUAUAUUUUUAUAAUACGAACCUUCUCAAUUGUUGCAUUUAUGAAUUGUGAUGCAUGGUAAGAUUGUAAGGUAAAUUGAAAAUGAUAAAUGAGCUUAAUAGAAUUGAUUUGAAUUGAUUGUUAACGAUAAGGACUAAAUUGAAUAGUUUUGAAAAUAUUGUAUAUUAUUACAAAUGUGCAAUUGAAUCUAUUUUAUAAUGAAAUACACUGUCACAUAUGAGAACUGAUGAUUGGUUGAUGAAAUUAUGAUAUGAAAUUGAGAAAUUGAUUAUAAUGAAAUUGAAAUAAGGAUGGAUAGUGGAUAUCAGAUUAUAAGUCUAGAAAUGUGAAUUUGAUAUUACACGAUUUAAUCAAUUUGAUCAACAUAUGGAAAAAUAUAUAUGUUGCAACUAUGAUAGCUUGAUUUAAGAUAAGCAAAAUAAAUUGUAUAAUCAAGUGAUGUAUUAGGACUUGUAGAUUGACAUAUUAAUUUGCAUUUAAAUUUUUGUUUGUUGGUUCAUGCAUUACAUGAUUAAUAUUAUGUUCUGAUUUUUUUAAUAUAGAAAAAUCAUUGAGUUAUACUCAACUUAUGAUUUUGUUUUCCAUGCACAGGUUAAGUUUGAUCAUGAAUGUCUAACAAUAUUAGCAUUCAGCAGUAAUCUCGGACUCAACAAGUGGUGAUGUUUCUUAUAGUUUAAUGGCAUGUACCUAAGGGAGUAUUGUGCUUAGAUAAUGCUAAAAUGAUGAAUUACUUGGUAUUUUGGUAUAGUUGUGCAUAUGUGAUGUAAUUUUUAUAUGAUUUGAAUCUAUGUAUGUGUAUAUAUAUACAUAAAUAGAAUUUAUUGAAUGUGUUGAUAAUGAUUGUUAGUAUAAUUAUGAAUAAUGUAGGAAGAUUUAAAUUUAGAUAAGUUGGUGAGAUGCAUACUGUAGAAGAAUUUAAUUGGGAAGGUAAUUAGUAUGUUGUCAUGUUGUGAAUGAAGGUUGAGUUUGCUAGAAAUGAAUUGGUCAUAAAUUGACUAGAAUGGUAUCCAUUGUUAUAAGGAUGAUAGUUGAUUGAGAAGAUUGUAAUGUUUGACAGAAGGGUGUAUUUUGGUGCCAAUUAAGGCAUGGUAAUUGAAUUGGUCUUGGUGUUGGAUGUAUGAAUGAAUGUCUAGUUUUACUGGUCUAUAUGGGUACCUAAGAGUACCAUGUGAAGAGAUGUGGUUUGGGCAAGGAAUAGGCAUGUUAAAGGAAGUUUUUAACCAUUUUGCAAGAAAGUAAUGAUAUCAUGGCAUUAGGUAUUGAUACUUGACCAUUUGAAUAGUUUUUUAAAACAAACAAAAUGCCAAAACCAUAUCGAUACGUAAAUGGGCAUCGAUAAUUUCAAUAAGGUAUCAGUACCAAACAAUCAAGUAUCGAUACCAAACCUUUAAAUUUGAAAUUUUACAAUUUAGCCCUAUUUCAUGCUCAAACUUCCAAUUUAGGUACAUCUAUGCUCGGUUUAAAUAGAUUUGAAGUCUAUGUUUAUCAUUGUAUGAGAUGCUUUAAUAUGAAAUGUAAACAAAGUUUAUCCGACAACGAAUGUGAUAUCCCAUUGCUCAGACCCAGCGAUCGGGUCAAAUAAUGGGGUGUUACAAAUCGAGCUCUAAUUAACAUUAAACUAACCUUAAUUAACCUUAGUGGAUUCCAAAAAUAUCAUCCACUAACACAUAUUCCAAAAUGGUUUAAUCGUCAUUUUAGACCUUUGGCUAAUUGCAAUUUAAGUCCCUAAAGUCUUUGACCAAUUAAAACCUAUAGCGAUAAGACUUUUACAAUUUAGUCACUAUAUCUAAAUUAACAAUUAAUUGAACAAAAUUAUCAUACCAAAUUCUAAUAUACUGUUAUAAAAACUAUAUAAAUAUUUAUUUUUUUUAAUAUUUACAAACCCGAUUUAUGGAAAUGGGAUUCCGAAACCGUAUUUUUCGACACCACUGAAAAUUGAGUUAUUACAUCAUGGGAUAAAACAACCAUAUGACCAGAAAACCGAGUCCAACAAGGACUCCCUAUGCCACCCACCAUACUUGCUUGUGCAACAAGGGUAUUCCCCACAUGUAGUAUCCUUACUUUGACUCUAGUUGGGUUAUCUUAAGGCUUGCAUUUAUACCUAAUUACAUAAUUUACACAAGCCCUACUUUAAUUCUAUUAAAAUCAUAACAACUUUACCGUAUUAAAAUGCAUGUGUGACUUCAUUUAAUUAAUUUCAUUCAUUUUAAUUAAUUAGAUAAGAUGAUACCUUCAUUUUUCUCCACUUCAGUUUCAUCAUUUAAUCUAAUUAAAUAGAUAUCCAAAGUGACUAAAUUAACCCCAAAUCAGUCUAACUAUUAAACUGAGAAAACACCUAUUACUCCACUGAAUAAAUCCAGUCAAUCAUUUCUUCAUGGUUUAUUGUUCCUUACAAGUGUUUAAAUUAAAUGCAAUCCCUUGAACAGUCAUGUUGAGCUAAUGGAGGUAUCAAUUGGAUAUAUAUAUAUAUAUAGUUAGGGCUUGAAUAAUUUGUAAUUAAAUUUUAACUCUUCACAAAUAUCAUUUAUCGUUCUAUUAAAUUAUUUAAAUAUCAUUUAAAUUAACUGGUUUUUUACUUUCCAACAUCAUAUCUAAAAAAUUUAUUUUAACUUUUCACAAUAUAUUUUUACAACAAUAUCAAACACUUGAAAUUAACAAACCAUAAAUUUUCACAAUAUUUUUCCACCACACUAAGAAAAAAGAAUUAAACCUUAAUAGACCCAACAUAAAAAUUAAUUAAAUAUUAUGCAAGAUUUAACACAUAAAAAGUAAAAAUGCUAUAUAAACGUGUCAAUUCUUUAUGAUAUAAAUUAUAAUUAUUAUAUUAUGCAGGUGAAAGAGAUAUAUAUACAAGAAUCAUACAUGUAAAAAAAAAUUCUUAAAUCUCACUACUUUAUCAGUCAUCCAUUUUAAAUUUCUUUUAAGGUUGUAAUUUAAGUUGUUUAAUUUAAAUAAAAAUUAUUGAAAAUACAUAAAUAUUUUUUAUACAUUGUUGUUUUUUAAAAUUAUUAGUUUUUUGUUUUUUUUUCAUUUGAAUUGGUAUCUGGUUAACUCUUAAGGUAAAUUCAAUAAAAAAAUUUAAGUAAUAUAAAUAGAUUUCACCGUUCGAAUUACAAAGACAAUAUAAAUAAGGUUAAAAUAUGCCACAAGUCCCUAUACUAUUCACAAAUUUGAAAUUUAGUCUUUAUAUUUUUAUUUUUAGGAAUUUAGUCCUUCAAAAUUCUAGUCUAAUUGUUACACUAUUAAUUUUUUAUUAAUUUUUUUGGUGUGACAUAUUGAAGUAAUAAAAAUACUCACUUGGUAACAAUAUAACUAAAAAUGAUGUUGUAAUAAACCUAAAUUUAACAAAAUAUUUUAGCAGUCUUAACAAUUAGAUCUGAAUUUUAAAAUCUAAAAAAUAGAGAAAAUAAAUUCCUAAAAAUAAAUUUAUAAAGACUAAAUUCUCAACUUGUGAAAAAUACAUAGACUUAUGAUAUAAUUUAACCAAUAAAUAUUUCUUAAACCCUUUUGUAUGGUAUUAAUAGCAGCAUGUCAUACAUAUUGCUUAAGUUGUAUUUUACUUGAAAUAUAAACAACAAACUUCAAAUUUUGUCUAAAUUUACUCAUAUUUAUAAAUGAAUAAUUUAAAUUCAUUUAGACUUAUUUUUGUACAUUCUAAAAAGAUGUUAUUUUUCAAUUUUAGUACUUUUAUAAUAUUUUAAAUAGAAAUAAUUUAAUAUAUUUUUAAUGUUUCAUUUAGAGAAUUUUUUAAGGUAAUGUAAUAGAUUUGGGCCUAACAUAUGCCAACACAGGGAGACAAUAUGCGUUUUUAGUAGUAACAACUUUGAAUUGGAUGGUUGUAACCAGCGGCGAAAUUAGAAAAUUUUUUUAGAGAGUCGAAAUUAAAUUGUAACUUUUACUAUAGUAGAAUUGUGAAUUUUAAAGUAUUAAAUCAAAAUUUUAUCAUUUUUAAGGAAGAUAAAGUACAAUUUUAUUUUUUCUAUUUAUCUGCUUCUUAAUAUUCAAGUGGCUGUUUCUGGAAAAAUUCAUCAAAGUGUUUUGAUUUUGAGUUAAAUGAUUAAAGAGAUGAUACAUUUAUAAUGGCUGAAAAUACUAAUUUGAUGUGAUAUAAAUUAUAAAAAAUAAAAAUGGAGUGAGUUUAGGCAUGUUGAAGCCAAACUUUUAUUUUUCGGAUUAAUAUUUGAGUCUAACAAAUAAAGUGUAGUUUAGUUUUGGGUUGGCAUUAUUGAUUAAUUUAUUGCUCCUCACAUCAUAUAUUGUCUGUAUUUUGUUGGUGUUAUUCAAAUGCAAAAACUUUCAACUCUUCCACAAAUAUUUCACCAUCAUUAUAUUAAUCAACAUUUCUCUAUCUCUUUAUAAGAAAGAAAGAAAAAAAUUCAUCAACAUCAUUAAAAUAAAUUUUCAUAUUAAAAAAUUUACAACUUUGGUGAGUAUAGCUCGAUUCAAUUUGAAUUUAUUCGGUUUUCUUGAAAUUACUCGAAUAAGUAAUUCAUUUUUUGAGUUCGAGUCAAACUGAAUUUUACAACUCAAAAUAUUAAAUUGGUGUAAGUACCCCUUGGACCCCUAAUAGUUAUAAAAUAUUUUUCCAAAAAUUUUAUAAAUAUAUAUAAAUUAAAAAAUAUAUAUUAAAAACGUAUAAAAUGCUAAAUUAUAUAUCUUUAUAAAAUUUCUAAAUUGAUUAAUUUGAUUUCUCAAACAAAUAAAUUAUCAAAUUAAGUUUAUCAUACUAAUUAUCUUGUUUUUUUUUCUCUUAUUUUGUUUUAAAAGAGUUUCCAAAUAGUAUUUAUGUUCUUUAACUUGGAAUUUAGUAAUAUUAUCAACAAGAUUUCAAUAUGGUCGGUUUGAUUUUUUUUAUUGACUUGAGUCAAUUUGAAAAAAAAAACCAAAUUGAGAUAGGGUGAUAAAUAGGAAUUAUCAACUUGACUAAUUCAAAAAAAUUUCACUCAAUUGAUUCGAUUCAAAAAAUAUGAUUAAUGACAAGAAUGAUUUAACAACUUAAUUAUUUGUGAAUAAAUUACGGGUGAAGUUGAGUUGAAAUCAUUUGUAUAAAUUAAUAUAUUUGUUGUUGUAAGAAAGUAACAAUUUAGGCUGUUAUGUUAGAGUUGAAAUUUUAAUCCUCAAUUUGCAAGAAGAAGAAAAAUAAAUUAAUAAUACAAUAAAUAUAAUCCAAAUGAUGCAAUAGGAAAAAAUACAAAUAUAAAUUUUAAAGGGGUUUUAUUCCACAUUAAAAGUCCUAAUUUUGAUGUUCUCUUGUAUUUUUUGAUUUUUUUCGAUCGCAUUUUGUUGCCACAUUAUGUGGCGUCCCAACAGAAAUAAACAUAAUUCAACCAAUCUUUUGAAAAAUAAUCUAAAACUUUGUCUUCUCCUUAUUUACCAACUUUCAUUUUUUUAGUGUUUAGUGACCAAGUCGGGAAGGUUGGCGCAUGCCCUGCCUCUCCUUAAAAUAAUUCUUUUUAUUUAUAAUUUAUAAAAUUUUAAAUCCCCUCUUAAAUUAUAAAAUUAUAUUUUUACUAUCAUAAAAAUAUACCAUUACUCCUUAAAAACACAGUUAGUGCUUCUCUUUUCUUUUGUACUACAGACUAUUCUCUCUUUCUAUAUAUAACCUCUUUUUAUUUUUGACAGCAUUACUAUAUAUUCUGUUUAACAUGCGAUAAACUGGAAACCCAGAUUUUAGUUUCAACUUGUUUCAAAUGAAAGUGUCCAGUUUUCUCUUCUUCCUCUUCCUAUACCUUUCUCUUUUCCUCUCUGACACCUCCCAUGGCGGCAGUGAUGAUGAUGAUGAUACGGCAAGCAAUAAGAGACAUAACCUACGUUCUAAAUCCCUGGUUCUGGUCAAGAUCUGGUGCUUGAUUCUCGUGUUUGUAGGGACCUUCAUUAGUGGGGUGUCGCCCUAUUUUCUUAAAUGGAACCAGGGUUUUCUGGUGUUGGGAACUCAGUUUGCAGGUGGGGUUUUCUUGGGGACUGCCAUAAUGCAUUUCUUGAGUGAUGCUAAUGAAACGUUCGAGGAUUUGACGACUAAACAAUACCCUUUUGCUUUUAUGUUGACUUGUGUUGGAUAUUUAGUCACUAUGGUGGCUGAUUCUGUGGUUUCUUAUGUGUAUGGCAAGGGAAAGGGUUCAUCAUGUCAUACUUAUGAUUUGGAGCUUCAUGGUAAGAAAGUUGUUUAUAUAUAUACUCAUUAUUCUACCUUCUUACCUCACUUCUUGCCUAAAUUGCAGGGACAGGCACCGGGACAGACGCUGCCUGUGAACGGUCCUCAUCGCUCUCUUCUGUGAGUUCUUUCGGGGAUAGUGUUUUGUUGAUAGUUGCCUUGUGCUUCCAUUCGGUGUUCGAAGGCAUUGCCAUCGGAGUUGCGGAGACCGAAGCCGAUGCAUGGAAAACCUUAUGGAUAAUCUCAUUGCAUAAGAUAUUUGCAGCCAUUGCAAUGGGAAUAGCACUGCUCCGAAUGAUCCCCGACCGUCCAUUUUUGUCAUGCAUAGCCUACGCGUUCGCAUUCGCCAUAUCGAGUCCGGCUGGUGUAGCCAUCGGGAUCAUACUCGAUGCCACAACAGAGGGUGUUAUGGCUGAUUGGAUAUUUGCCAUAUCAAUGGGGUUAGCCUGUGGAGUGUUCAUCUAUGUAUCCAUAAACCAUUUGCUAUCUAAAGGUUAUACGCCCCAUAAGACAGUUUCAGUCGACAAACCUCACUACAAGUUCUUGGCUGUCUUGUUAGGUGUUGGAGUGAUUGCUGUGGUAAUGAUUUGGGACAAUUGAACUAAUAAUUUUCAAAUUUGGUACAUUAGCAGUUUUUUUUUUUUUUUUUAGUAUAGAAUUGAACCAGGUAGAUCAAAUUAAGUUUGUUUCUAGUCUUCUCCUUUUUAUAUACAAAGAGUUUGUCUCUAGUCUCUGUCAUAGUUGCUCGCGUCCGGCGAUAACCCGUGAGGGGUUUAAGUUAUGUUGGCCUAAAUUUUAGGAUUUGACUCAUGUGUUUGCUUUACUUUUUUAUCUUCCCUUUUUAAUGUAAUUGAUUGUAUUGAAAAAGAAAAUUAUAGUAGCUUGUGUUAAAAACCAGUAUCUUAAUAGUCUAGCUUAGAAGCCAACUACUGGGGUCAACCAUUAAGGUAUCGAACUUAUCAAUGAUGAUCCAGAUGCAUUUUCGUUCAAGCUGAAUUUAAAUUGCUUGCGAGCGUGUUUACACAUUUUUUAAGGGUGAGUUAAGUUGGAAGAUAAACCUCAUAGGAUGAAGGGGGGUCGAAUGCUCUUUAAUUACUAUAAGACGCUUGUAAGCCUAGGAUUGAAGGAGCAUGUGUUCCAACAUGUUCUAUGCUGCUUAUUUCAGUAAAAGUGUAUUAUUACAAAGAAAUAAAAGCUUCCUAAAGAAAAUGAGAUGAAGAAGGAACUCCUUAAAAGGAGAAUACCUCUGUAGAGUUAAUUUGACUAACUUUGUGCGAUUUAAUUACGAGAGAACAAAAAAUCAAACUGUAUAGAUGGGUUUUCCUAACCUAGAUUGCCGUCGGGUUAUUGUCGAUUGUCAUCAUUUGCAUUUUAUUGGUUUUCACAGAGCUAAUUUUUCAGGAGGGGAAAAUAGAAAAUGGUUAAGCGGCUUUUAAUCACACGUAUAUGAUGGAUAUAGAUCCGGAAUCUAAUUUAAAAUGACGAACAGAACUUUGUUAAGUAAGGACAAGUAGAGGAAUCUGCCAAAACAAGGUUCAAUGCUUAUUAUGCAGUUCACUUGCUCUCAAUAACGUCAAAUGGGUUUGGACAAAACGUCAGAUUCAACUGAUGCUGUAAUGCCACUUGUCUUCUCAAAACAUGAUUUAUUUUUAAGAAAUGAAACAUCAAAACUUAUCAGAUACAGUGCUAUCAAAAGUUCAAUGUUAAAAAACCGAUAAAGAGAAUUGCCCCCAACAAAAGGGAAAAAGAAAUUCGGAUUAGCAUUUUGAGAAUCACUUCUGCUCCCCAAAAAUCAAAACUACAAUGAAGUGUGUUAUUAUUGGUAAAAUUUCAUUGAACUCUCUGAAAAGGUGUACUAAAAUACAAAUGUGAAAUUUGAAAGUGCUCUAGAGGUUCACAUGAAAAGCUUUCUCCAGGCAAACUGAUACUAUUAUUGGCCCCGCCAAGUCUCCGGCAGCACAGCCUGUAAAAAUAAAUGCCUACUUCAAAAUGAUGCAGUUGUAAGACAUGUUAAAACUUGAAAACAAAUUUGGGGUCGCAAUAACAGGCAACUAUUAGUCUCUUACCAAUCCGUAUGGCUGACUUACUUACCGAUCCAUUGACCAACUGAAGGACGGAAAAGUACAGCACCAAUCCCAGCUCCAAUGGAAGCAAAUAUCAACGAUGCUCCACACCUGAUGGUAAUACCAGAAAUCUUCUUUCCAAGAAGUUUAGUUUGCUCUGUUAGGUUGACUUCAUCACUCUCUUCGGAGUUUGUUUUGCGACAAAAGCAUCGGUAGAUUUCAAUACCAGUUUGAACAAGUGCCGCUGCCACAACUCCAAGCAGGUGACCUGAAUAGAUAUUGGGGGGAAAAGGAAAGAUGUUACAAAGCUAAAGAAACUACAUACAAUAAAGUGGACAUAUAAUGGUAUUGACCUCGGAAAGUAGUUCUGCUAACUCUGAAGAAGUACACUGUUGUAGGCAAUCCCCUUUGGGACUUCCGGACAGCUGAUUUCGGAACAUCUGUUUAUGUUGCCAAACUCAUUAGCAGCUUAUAGCUAUAAUCAGAAAGAAUCAGUGUUGUCAAGGUGUGCACCUAGGGGCACCUGCACCUUAGCACUAGACAACAAAAGCACCUAAAGCCCUUAGCACACACCUCUAACCUAGGCGUUUUUUUCUGUUAGGACGCCUCAUUUAAUUUCUUUUAUUUUUCACUUUUUUUCAUAAGAUGAACUUUUACUAGUAAGAAAGAGAUGGUAUCAAACUUCUUAAUAUUUAAGUAUUCAACUAUAGACAUAGACCAUAAGUAAAUCAUGCAUAUAGACUAAUAAAAACUACCAUGUUUUAUAGAUACACUAGACCACACUUUAGAGUUUAUUAAAUGUCAUAAGCUUUACAAAUACACACACGCAUCUGGAUACAGAUACAUACAAAGACUCACACAUAUACAUAUUGUGCUUUACUUCAGUCAGGCUAGAGCUAUUUUUGCACUUUGUGCCUGAGGCAAUAUAAGGGUUUUGGCGCUUAGAGUGCGCCUUGUGCCCUUAACAACACUGAAUAAUAUUGAAAUGUAUUUCAAUAUUAGAAGAAUAUUGAGAUUAUAAUAGUAAGAGUAACAGCAUUUCUUGUCCCUUUUAAUUCACAGGCAAGAUAAAGAACAACCACUGACCCACUAGCAUGACUUUGCAGAAUAACAGACAGAAAGUACCUUUAAGGAGUUUCCACGCCAUGCGCUGUGAAACAUAAAUAACAGCAAGUCUUUCAAGAACCCGUCUUGUCGUUACAACAGUGGUUCAAAUAUGGAGAUCCAACAAUCUACAACAAAAAGACUUUGGUCUGGAGCUUAGAUUUGAUGAACACCACUAAAAGAAGAACCGAACAUAUUUGUCAUCUGUAAAUAUUAACUCCGUAUAUGUUUAUUAACUUUAAUUGCUUACAUUGAUGAAUUAUACAAAUAUCUGGCUUUUUGCUUAUCACUUGUUGAAAGAACAUAAGAAGACUUCAUGUAAGCUAGGAACAAUAAAGAGAGAGGCAGAUGAACAGUAUCAAGCAAUCCGCAGAUUUCAGGAUAUCAAGGGAAAGACCAAAAGAAAACAACUCACCUCACGGAUUAUUUGCUUCACCGACUUUUUAAAGGGAACAACCAAAUCCACAUGUAGUUCUUUAGGAGUGUCCUGCAGGAAAUCUUCAUCAUCCUCUUCUACGUUUGUGGCAGGCUCCAACAGAGGCAAAUAGAACAUCAGAAAUGACCUCAAAGUUGUCAUAGCAAAUGGCCUCAACUCAAAAGCUGAAUAAAGAGGCUUCAAUUCAACCUUAUACUCCUUCACAGCGUAUUUGAGAGCAUCAUUUUUUAAGUUCUUAACAUUCUUAACAAUAUCUUCAGAUAAUCUUUGUACAUUUGAAAUGUAAUCUUCAGGGAAUGCCGCAGCAGCAUCACAAUGAGAAACCUUGGGAUUACUGCAGUACAAUUACUAGGCUAACAGUGUCAAAUUUAUGCACAAACAUGUCACACAUUUACAUCAAUAAUUUACUAAGCAAUUAUAACCAAAGGAGCUGCCUAGUACAGUAACAAUAACCAAAAUUUGAAACUAUUGAACUAUUCUAACAUAAACCCAAUCCUCAGCGCUGUCCAUUUACCAAUAAACAAAGCAAACACAGGCAUUCUUACACGCACAGAUGAAGGCAUGUAGCCUUCAAAAAAUACAUCAUACAUGUACACAUGAAAAAUGUAUGUGAAACCGAAAGAAAAAAACCCCAAUUGCCUAAAUUCAAUGAACAACCAUUAUCCAGUCCAAUCAAAUUAUCACUGUUCACUGAGCAUCAAAUUCAGUCAUGACUCGUGCAUACACAUACGGACGAUGAGAGGACCACUGAUACGUUUGCCUAAAUACCAUCAACAGCCAAAAUGGUUCUGCUAAUCACCACUGUCAACCAAGCAAAUAACAAAAGAACCACAGAAAUACACGGAUAUGAACAUACCCAAAAAGGAACCUGGAGGCAAAAGGGGUUCCAGCAACGACGGUAGCGGCAGCUGAUGCGGCGGCAGCUGAGGCAGAGAAGAACCCAGAAGAGUGGAAGCUUUGUUGAGAGCAAAAGCUUGGGUUUUUCCUGUAUAGAUCUAGCAAUAUUGCUAUCCCCGCCAUUGUUGUUUAGCUAAAAAAAAUAAACAAAACAGACCCGCUUUGGUUUAUAUCACAACCAUAGCAGUGAUCCGCUCUAGUUGUUUUCUACCGUUUGGUUUUCUAGGGAAAGGUCGAGGCUUUGAGGAAUUUUUAAGCUUUUGAUUAAAAAGUAAUUAUUAGUGUUAAAAGGAUCCGGGUUUUGCAAGAGAAAUGGAACUUUUAAGUUUCUUUUUCCCUUUUUCUUUUUUUAAUUAUAGAAUUUCCUUGCUAGUUGGGUUUUGCUUGUGUUUAAUCAUAAAAUUGGAGGUAAUCAGGGAGCAUACCUUCUAAGCACCAUUGAUUAGAUUUGAAAUUCUUUUUAAAAUCAUUUUAAAUUUACUCAUAUUAUUUUUUAAAAAUAUAAAUAUGUUAUUUUUAAUUUAAUAUUUAAUAAUUUUAAAUUAAAAAAUAAUAUGCUUUAACGUACUCAAACCCAUAAUACACAUGUCAAUCGACCUAAAACUUAAUCAAUCGUCUUACCAUUUUUUAAUGUUUACAGCAUAACAAUAUUAUAGAUUCACUUUUUAUGCGUUAUAAAUUACAUAAUAUAUGAAAAAAAACACUAUUUUUUUACCCGUCAUGUACUUAAUUGAAAUUUUAGAUUUUAUGUAAGUUAAAAUGUAUCACAUUACAACAAUUAUUUUUUAUUAUUUAUAAAAUGGUUGUACUUUAAUGGAUUACAUUACAAUAAUUAUUUAUCACUAUUUAUUAAAUUUAUAUGCGGAUUUUUUAAAAAUGUAAUUAAGAUUUUUUUUAAUAAAAACAUUUUUUUCUAAAUGCUGAAGUUUUAGGAUGUCAUACAUUAUAUAUUGAAAUAGGUGAUAUAAAUUAUUUGGAAAAUUAACAUAAUUUAAUUUAAUAGGUUAAGAAAUAAAAUUUAAAUUUUGUACUAAUGUGUAAGUGCAAAAUAGGUGAAAAUCAAUUUAAGUUCUACAAAUAGUCCUAAAAUGUUGUCUGGUAUCUCUUCUAUUUAAAUAUUUUUUAAUAUAUUACCAAAUAUUUUUUUAUUUUUUUAAUAGUAUUAUUUUUUAAAAAAGGUAAAUUCAUUAAUUCAUUCAAUGAAUGGAACCAUACAAUUCAAGGAAAAAAUAACAAACACUCGUUGUAGAUGGUGAAGAACAAGCUCCAUCAACACAACAAAGGCUUUAGCUCAACAUCAAUAGAACAUUAUGACAUAUUGACAAUUGAUUUUGUCACAACUCAAGCACGACAUAGCUGUAGUGAUUGCAAGCACUUAAUACGUUAAGGAAAUUAGCCCCAGAUGGUCCAAAGCGGUGAGCAAAAAUCGGCAAAAGAAUCGAGCAUUCAUCAAACUAAAGAGGAUGACAAUAAAAACAUUCCUAAAAUCACUUGUAAAACUAAGGUUACAUGCAUGAGCAAUACUAAAAAAAUGUGCUACAAGAGCAGACAAAAACUUUUAAAAUUAAUAACUUAUUAAACAAUGGAAAAACAAACAAGAAACAUAUAAAACUUAAGACAACACAAGUCCAAAUCGACUCGUGAAAUACUUAUUAUUCUGAAAUACUCUCAAAAUAGAAACAAAUUAAGAAGCUGGCAAAGAGCCACCCACUUUUAGAGAAUGAUAGAUGCCAUCAUCUGUCCAUCACAACUUGUGAAGACAACAAAGAUACUCACAAAAUAGAUCUGCAAACUGAAAAGAAAGAAGACAUGUGGAGUGAAUGAGAAGAAUAAAGAAAGAAAUGGAUGAUGUGAGGGAGAAAAUUGCAGCCAAUUUAUUAUAAUAAAAUUUAGAGAGAGAGAAAAAAGCAAAACAAAAGAAUUAUUUGAAAAAAAAGAUUGUAGGGUUUUUCUUUUAAUAGUAUUAUUGAAUAUGUACAAUGUCAUUAUUUUAAAUUUGUAAGAAAUGCAUUUAUUAUAAGAAAAUUUGGAAAUUUCAUAAUUAAUUUAACUAACUUUUUAAGCAUUAUUUGCACAAAUGUUUGAUUUGUAAGAAGAAAAACACCUUUUUUUUAAAUUUGCUAACGUAUUAGGGACUAUAAUUAUAAUUAUGGAGAAGAAAUUCGAAAAUGUUGAAAAUGGUGAAAUGAAAAGGAGUAAUAAGGUAAAUAUAAAAAGUGGAAGAAGUUGGUGAGGAUGGGGUGCAUUCCUUUUUUUUCAUUUCCAAAUUCCAAAGGUGACCCAAAAAUGGUGUAUUUUGUUGUUAAAACUAGCUUAUAAAUGAUGAUUUUAUAACUUUAAAACACCAAAGUGAUAUAAAGGUAGAUGUAUGAAAUUAUAAAAUCCAAUCUUUUUUUAAUUGAAAUUUACAUUUCAUAUAUGUUAUAAAAAUCAAUAGUUUUAGAACACUACUUUAAAUGGGUGACAAUGACUUAAAUAAUAAAACAGAUAUAUUAUCGUCAGUAUAUUUUAUUAUUAACUGAGAAAAUCAAGAAUAUAUAUAUAUUUAAUUUACAAAGAUAAAAUAAUUAUUCGAAUUUGUAAAAAUUAUUGAUAAUUAAGAAAUUAAAAUUGGAUAUGUGAAAUCACUUGGUUCACAUUCAUUUGCAUGAUCAAGGAAGUUGGAUUUGAGAAAAGUUUAUGUUAAAUUCGAUGUAAAAAUUUAUUAUUGUUUUUCGGAUUUUAUAAAAAAUGUAUUAUCAAAAGAUUAAAAAUUUUAAAACAAACGUAGAUAUCAAAAUUAAUUAAUAAAUUAUUUGCAUUACUAUUCAAGUAAACAUUUUUAAUUAAUAACUUUUAUUAUUUAUUAAUUUAAUAAAUUCAUUUACAGUUGAUAUAAAAUAGAGGUGCUCAUCCCCCGAGUCUAAGUAUGAUAUUAACAUAUUUUAUUAUUACUUAAGUUCGGUCCGGGCUAAAAUUUUACCUAAAUUCACUCAUAUUUGUAAAAAAUUAACCCACGCCCAUUUUAGGCCCACUCAUAUUAUUUUUAAUUUUUUUAAAUAUAUUUAUUUUAUUUUAUUAUUUAAUAAUUUUAUACAUUUUUUAUUUAUUGAUUUUUUUUAUAGAGUCAUCUUAACAUUAUUUUAAUGUUUACAUUAGAGUAGUAUUAUAUAUUUAGUAUAAGUUUAUUUUUUUAAUGUGUUCUAAAUUAUAUAAUAUAUAAAAAUAACAUAAUAUAAAUUAUUAUAAACUUAAAACGGGUCGGGUCAAGUCUUGAAUGUUCAAGCCUGAGCUCAGCCCAUAUUUUAAAGAGACCUAAUUUUUUUGUCCAAAUCCUCUCAAAUUUCGGGCGAGCCUUCGAAUCUGGACGUGUAGCCCGACCUAUGAACAGGUCUAAUACAAAAUGAGUAUAUUUAAAAACUUCAAAUUUAACUUAAACAUGUUUAACAUUGUCAUAAAGUUUGCUCUUUUGCACGUCGGUUGUCUACUCUUUGCACAUUUUCCUUCCAGUUUUUUGUUGUCAUUAACUGUUUUGUUUGGAUAUGUGGAGAUUCUCCUUAGAUUCUGUACAUAAUGGAAGAGAAUUUGGUUAAGUUAAACAUUGAUGACGAUAAGGAGGUGGUGUUGGAAAUCCCCAUUACCGAGGAGUCUGAAUCAAGUUUUGACCUUUGUUUGGUGGGUAGGUUUUUUACUACCAGUGUAAUUCAGUUUCACGCUAUCGGAACACUCUUGCAAAUAUUUGGCAUCCAAAUGGUGGCGUGGCGAUUCCAAAUCUGGGGAAAAAGGUUCCUUUUUCGAUUUUUCAAUGAAGUUAAUUUAUAAAAGGUUAUUCAUGGUGGUCUAUGGACAUUCAAUAAUCAUUUGUUGGUGUACCAUUGUUUAGAAAAGGGUGAAGAUCUGCUUCAAGUCCCUCUUUUUUGAUUGAUUUCUUGGUCCAAGUUCAUGACCUUCCAAAUGGUUUUAAUGAAUCUAUGGUAAAGCAAUUUGGUAAGUUUUCUUGGCAAUUUUGUCGCUUAUUUCUCAUGGAUUUAAGAGUUUUAUGUAACUUAGAGUUACUUUGGAUGUUCGUGUGCCAUUAAAAUGAAAGAAAAAGAUUCAACUAUAGGGUGAUCUUUAUGUUUAUGCUCAUUUUAUAUACGAGCAUUUAUCUUUUUUUGCUUUUUAUGUGGGGGCCUCGGUUACAGUGAAAGUUUUUUUUAAUAAUUCAUUUUUUGGUGGUGAGAGAAAUAGUGAGUGAAUCCGUAAAUAUUAUCAUUUAAUAUUUACUAGUCAAAUACAGUAUUAUAGUGCAUUUUGAUUUGAUAAAUUUUACUAAUAGGACAAUUAGUUAAGGUACAAGUGGUUAGACCUUAAAUUCAGUGAUUUUGAAAAAUGAAAUAUCGGAAUCUUGUUUUCAUAAAUCGAACCCGUAAAUAUUUGUUAUAUAGGUGUCUUUAAUUUUAGUCCGAAAAUUUGAAUGAUUGAAUAAUUAAUUAAGGUACAAAAAUUAAAUCGUAAAAGUUAAUAGUUAUUGAAUUCUACUAACUAAAAUACUUAUUUAUUAAUGGUGCAAGGGUUUAAUAGGCAAAUUGACUACAAUAGACCAUAGUGGACGGUUAAUGCAUGAAUGAUGGCUUUAUUUUUGUAUGAAUUUUGAUUAAAAUUAAUAAAAUAAUAACAUAAUUAUUAAUAAAACAAAGAUGGAUGGAAAGAGAAAUGUCAUUCUCAUCUUCCUCCCCACCGUUCGAACUCAAUGGAAGCAAAGAAUUGAAAGCUUGAAAUUCUUUUGAUAUUCGGCUUUGCAUGGUAUGUAUAUUAGGGGUUUUUUUUUGUAAAUUUUAUAUUUUUGAGAUCGUUGUAGCUCAAUCUAGCUAGCCCGGGUACUAAAUUGUAAAACUAUCAAAGUUUUGAAAAGUUAUCAUUGUUAAAUUUUGAGGUUUUGGAUGUUAAAUAGUUGUGUUUGAACCUUUAAUGGAAAAUAUGACUAUUUUAUAAAGUGAUUUUUGUCAGUUUUGAGUUUAGGGACCAAAAAUAAAAUAUGUUGAAAUUGGCAUAAAAUUCUUAUAAUAUAGAUGCUUGUAACACCCCAAAUUUGGGCCUAAGAGUUUUAAUGAUAUUUUAGGAAUUUUAGUCUUAGAGUGUUUAAAAUUUUGCGAUAUGGUAGAUCAAUUAUGUUUUUUAAUAUGGUUUUUAUAAAAUUAAAUCAAUUUCUAAAAAUGAGUUUUAAAUACCUUUAAUUGUGAAAAGUGGAUUGAUUUGUAAAAGAGUCAAAACUUUGGGUUUUUAUAAUGCAAUUUAACCAAAAUUUAAAAUUCACCCUAUAUCCACCUAGUUUAUUUUCGCAUUAACUUCUCCCUUUUAUUUGCUCUUGUCGUCCCAUGCUCUCCUAACUCCUCCUAUACAAUUUUCUUUGUCAAACCUAAAUUCCUUUGAUUCCUAUCACUUUCCAAAUCAUUAAACCUCCCUAAAAUCCAAGAAAAACACUCAAAAAACACCAUAGAUUCCUCAAUUGUCAAGCUUGUAGAUUUUUCAGGUUUUCGAUCAAACGCUCAAUUUUUCAUUAUCUAAGGUAACGAUUCAACUUCUAAAUAGUUUUAAAUGUUAUUUAAUCUUUAAAACUAAGUUUUCAGCUAUUAAAUCACAUGUUUUAAAUAAAAGCCAAAAAUUUGGUCGUUAAUGGUGGAUUCUGGGAUUUUGAGUGAAAACUUGGUUCCAAAGUAUUUUUCAAUUAUUUUUUUACAUGAUUAAGAGGUUUCUAAACUUGUUUUGAAGUUUCAAUACAGAUUUCUUGAGUUUUAGUGAAUUUUCAAAAAAUAGCCAAAAACAUGUCAAAAAAGUCGAUACCAUGAAUUGUGUAGUUUUGUGUAGUUUAAAGGUUGAGAAUUAGUCGUAGGUGACUAAAUAGAUUAAUUGAAUUAGUUUUAGGCGAAAAGGUUAAGUAUAGACCGAAAUAUUCAAAUUUUAAGUUUUUUAUGUCGAUGUUUUUGGUCAAAAGAGAACCUAGCUUAGGCUUGUGCUUUUAGAUUGUUUGAUGUGAGUCUUUGGCUAAAUGUUGAUUGUGUGGUUAUUAUGCGUGAAGCAUCAAAACAGUUGGAACCUUCUUCGAGCAAGGCGAAAGGCAAGAAAAAUCUAGUUUAAGUUUUUGACUUUUUGGCAAAAGUGUAAUCGGUGAGUGUUUGGAAUUGCUGUUAGUAGACACGAUUUAUAGUGUUAAUUGGGAGCUUAGGAAUAGCCUAAACCCUUAUCCUAAGUUUCGAGUCUAAGCUUUCUAUUUCCCUUGUUUUAUUUUUGGUAAAUUAAGUGAUUACAAGAAUAUUUAUGGAUUGAUUAUUAUGAUGUAAUAUUGUGAUAUGAGACAUGUGUGAUGACUAUUAUGAAUUGUAUUGUGUUGUGGGCAUAUUAAACAUGCCAAAAAAUAGUGAUGAUGUUGUGUUAACAAUAUAAAUGUGCAGUGAAAAUGUGCAAAAACCAGUAAGUAUGUAUGUGUUGAAUUAUGGAAUGUAAUGCUAAUGUAACAUGUUAUGUAUGUGAUAAACUGAUUUUAAUGCACUCAUAUGUGGUUGGAUACGUGAUGGCUUAAUGAGCAUUAUUGUGGCACUUUAAGUGCAAUUAAAUGUGAACUCGAUAAGCAUGCAUUUUGUACAAGUUUGUGAUGUGAAUUGAUGAAUAUGAACAGAGAUGAUGUGCAUUAAAUCAAUAAUUAAAAUUGUGUAAUUGUGGAUAUUUUGGCCUUGUGACCUUAUGAGACCAUUUGAUAUAGUUAGCAUGCCAUAGGAUUGUGAGUACUUACCUAUAUGUGUUUUCUGAUUUGGACGUUAAAGCCCUGUGACAUGUUGGAGAGAUAGGGGAAUAUGAGCUAAGCUCCAUUCAACGGGACAUAUUUGGUGUGUUAGAGGGUGUCGGCUUUAUGCUUCACUUUUGAGAUAUGUUCGACUCAAUAAGUCAUUUGGUGUGUUAGAGAUCCGUGUAUCUGAUGUGUGGUGAUAGAGCUCACUUUUAUGUUUCAUAGCCUCAAGUGCCAAAUUAUCUUAAAAUGUAUAUAUGUGUAAAGUGAUCUACGCCUAAACGAGUAUGUGGUUGCUAUGAAAAUAAUUGUUUAAAUGUGAUCUUAUUUUUUGUGGUAAUACGAUGAGAGAUGGACGCUUAAACAUGUGAAUAAAUGCUACAUGAGUUGAUUUAAGUUUCAUGAAAAUGUUAGUAUGUUCUCAUAGUAAAAGUAUGUUCUCAUAGUAAAUUGCGUAUGUAAUUGUGGUUUGGAUUGUUUCUAUUUAACUUGUGAAUGCAUGUGAAUAUAUCAGCUAGACUUAUGGGUUAUAAAAGCAUGUAUACGUCGUUUAGCCUUGAUGAAUUAUUGCUAAAUGAAUUAUAUAUAAGCGAGUUAAGUGUAAUUGCAUGUAGGAGUAUAUGUUAGUUUUAUGACUUAAUGAAACGUGAAUAUGUUAUUUUGGCUUGAUUAGAAUAUGAUUGUGAACGUGUUCACUACAGCAAAAUAGGUUUUUAGUAGCAUUUUUUUGGUCCUAUAGCAGUGCUUAUAAGCGCCGCUAAAACAAUUUACGGCAUUUUAAUAAGCGCUAUAAAAAAUGCCGCUAUAUUUUGCGGCGUUUAUAUGGAAAAACGCCACUAAAGAACAUGAUUUUUAGCGGCGCUUCUCGAAAAACGCCACUAAAGAUCAUGUUCUAUUGGCGUUUUUAGUAGAAGCGUCGCUAAAGACCAUAUCAAAUUCAACUUCUUUUUUUAAUCAUCUCAUUUAUAUUCUUACCUUAAAUGAUCAUACAAAAUUUAAAUGACCUAACAAUGGAAACAUUUUAAAUUAUUUUUUGAGUUCAAAAACAUUGACAAGAGAACUGUUCAUAAUGUUUGAUCAAAAUGUUAACAUAAUCAUCUUUGAAAACCCAAUCUAAUGACUACAGUACAUACUUUCUAAUAAAACUCAAAUCUUUGAAACUUUUGCCGAAUAAACAACAUGAUGUUUACUAUGAGAAACUUCAACUACAAGCAUACUACAAUAAGUUACUACAAAAGAGUAACUACCUCAUAUGUUACAAUCCCACCUAUUGAACCUCUAAAAUGACUACAAUUUUAUAAUUCUAUUAAGAAUUGCAAAUCAAAUCCCUAGAGGGAGAGAUAAAUUACCAGUCAUAUAAUUUCCUCAAGUGAGAACUACGCAUCAUCAUCUCCAUCACAAUAUUUAUUAGCACCACCGCCUAUAUCAGCAUUCUCGUCACUUUCAUUCCCUUCCUCAUCCUCAUCAGACAUGUUAUUUAUCACAUUUGUAAUGAUAUCCUUCACCUUGGCUUUUCUGUGCAUCAAAUCCUGGUCAAAAUGUAUACCUGAGAUUAUCAAAAUCUUAUAAUUAGUUAAGAGUCUAAGUAUCAAUAUUGUAACUUAAAUACUUUUAAUGACUGAAGGUAAAACAUACCUAGUUGCUGAAGGAUAUCAGAUAAUGUUGUCUGCAUCAGACAAAGAAAACUUCAACACAAAUAUUGUGAAUUUAAUCAUUUCAUCUAAGAAUUAAAUAGAUAAAGAUAACACUUAUAGUGUUGAAGUCUACUUUUUUUUAGAAUAUCUACAACUACUUUAUGAAUCUCUUCCCUACUAGGCUCAGGUUUAGGUUUCUUGCUACUUUUGCUUUUACCUGUCACAACAUAAAUACAAUGGAUGUUGAACAAAAAAAUUAAUAAACUCAAAAACCACUUCAAAUAUUCCUUUUUCUUUUAAGAAUACCCUCGCAUAAAAAAACUCUAUACACCAGCAUAACAGAAAUAGUAUAGCUAGUGAAAUCUACCAUGUGAUUUAGCAAAAAUCUUUGUUGAUGAUUUAAGUCUCCCCCUUGGGGUGUUUUUCGUCGCUUUUGUAGAGAGAAAUUGAAAAUUAAAUAACAAGCAUCAAACACUCUCAGCCACCAACAAAUGUUGGGGAUUAAAAAUAGGGCAAAGACAAGAAAAAAUAUAAAAUCAGAGAAAAGUUAUCUUUCUUAAGCAGCAAUUCCUAGCUAGAUUCCUGUAGCACAUUCUUUUUUGAGAUUUAGAAAGAAAAUAUGUGAAUCUACAAGCCCAGCUUUACCUAAACAAAAACAUGUAUAAAUUUUGGUUCCUCCAACAGAGAGAAUCUAGCAAACCAAAAUUACUAAAACCAAAUUGAUUAAAAAUUGAAGGCAACUAGGAUAGAGGAAAGUCAUCAUAAUGAUAAUCAACUUUCCUAACGUACCAAUGUUAGAUGCAUCAAAACCUAUGAAAAUAGU
RNAcentral lists this long non-coding RNA (56402 nucleotides) under Gossypium barbadense (sea-island cotton). RNAcentral describes it as "long non-coding RNA (GBAR_LNC022550)". Lineage: Eukaryota; Viridiplantae; Streptophyta; Magnoliopsida; Malvales; Malvaceae. The record is from RNAcentral.